AAAAAUAUAUUAAUAGACUUUUACUACUAUAAUAUUCAAGAAAAAAAAUUAGACAUUGCUACCAAAAUACCAUUUUAUCUAGCAAUGUGCUUUACCCGUCAUUUUUGUCAUUAAUAAUUAAAACUAUUUGAAUAUCUUUAUAAUUUGUUUGAAAGUAAUAGUUAAUUCUCUCUCUUCUCUCAGCGCACGAUAUCAUUUUUUCUAUCCUACGCAAUAGCCGAAGAUGGCGAGAGGAUGACCACGCAAGGAUGGAACUAAGCCGAUUGAGGUGCUGGCUAACAAAGGAAAGCAAGUGAAGGAAGGGUUCCCACCUCUCAUGAUGGGUUCGACACGAAUGAGUGAUAAAAGUGGAAGUAUUGUUCAAUUGAAAACGAGCACUGUCGCAGUUGCAAAGGCUACUCCAUCUCUAAGGGCUGGAGGACGGCGGACACCUCCCAGUACUAGUAAUGUGCAUGGAAGGAGCUCAAAUCUUGCUAAAGGUGAAAGAAACAAGACAACAGAAUCUAACCAGGCCCCUGCUACAGGUAAUGAAGGUAUUGCAGAGAAUCGACCAGUAGAACAACCAAAAUGAUCAAAGAAUUGGGAUAAUUUAUUUGUCGGGAACAAAUUGACUGCUAGAGGUAUGAAUUUGCAAUUUAUUGCACCGAUCAUUAUUGAAGGGGAGAAAGUUGCACAAAUUCAGAAGGAGAAAGUACAUGAGGCAACAAUUAUAUAGCAACGUGUUGUAAUACUGUAUGUGGUAGGUGCUUCACUAAUUAUAGGAGCCAUUAAUCAUUUCAUUGCAAGUAAUUAGAAUUUUACUGCUACACCUUCUUUUUUCUACCACAAUGACGGAUACUUUUUGACACUGCUUAAUAGCAUGGAGGAUAAGGAUAGAGUAAUGUGUUCAUGAACUUAUACUAUAAACACCAGGCCAGUAAUAAUUAGAGCUUGGAAUGCAGAUCUUGACUUUGCGGAGGAAGUGCUUAAAAUUAUCCCUUGAUGGAACCGUCUUCCAAGUCUACCAGUUAAUUAUUGGAUAUGUAGACUCUGAGUAGGAUUGGAAGUGUUCUGAAUACACCUAUCUACGAUGGUAAUGUACCACAAGCCUUAAACGGAUAUCCUAUGCUAGAAUUCUAGUGGAGAUGGAUGUAACUUGCACUUUGCCUAAUGAAAUUAAGGUGUAGGACCCUGAAGGAAGGUUAUAUGUACAAAAAAUGAAGUAUGACUGGAAACCAAGCUUUUUUCCUACCCGCUUGAAGAUUUGCCAUAUAUAUCCUAAGAAACUGGACCAAAACAAGGUGGAAGUGAAUGGACCCAAGGAGUGGAAAUAUAAGACUCCUAUUUCUCAGCCACAAUAGGAUGCUACUACUAGUGGUACAAAGGAUCAGGAGGUCCAAGCAUCACCAAAGGAACAAUUAAACACAUGGGGAGGUCUGGAAAAUAACUAAACACUGCCAGGUAGAGCAAAACAUAGAAAAAUAAUGUUGUUAGCAUGACCAAUAUUUUUAGUCCAUUUGCUACUGUGGUAAAUCAAGAACUACAACAUUAUGAUACGUUGAAAGAGGGUGAACGUGUAGAUGCAGGGAAUUUCCCAUCUCUUAUACCUACUCUAAGAUGAAGACAAUGACUUGGAAUGUUAGGGGCUUUAAUAAAGUUUAUAAGUAGAAUUUGUUGCACCAGUUUUUAAUGGAGAAUAACAUGGAUGUAAUGGCUAUAGUAGAACAUAGGGUUAAACAAAGGAUUGCAAAGGUAUUGUCAAUAAGGUGCUCUUGGAUGGGAUGUUACACACAAUUAUGCACAGGAUGGUAGGGGUAGAAUAUGGGUAAUUUGUAACACUAAGUAUUAUUGUUUUACUUUUUCUUACGGUACAGAUCAAUUCAUUCAUGGUGAGAUCAAGAUGACGGGCACUGAUAGCAAGUUCCAAUUCACUACAGUGUAUGUGCUGCAUACAAUUUUAGAUAGAAAGAUGUCGUGGGCAGGAUUAUCUAAUAUAGAUAAGUCUAUGAAGAAACUUGGUUAAUCAUGGGUGACUUCAAUGCCAGAUUGCAUGUAAAUGACAGAAUUGAAGGCUCAUCAGUGAAAGAAACUAAGAUUGUUGAUUUUAAUGAAUUCCCGCAAGAUGCCAAUCUCAUAGAGCUUAAAGCAGUAGGAAGAAAGUACACCUGGACUAAUUCUCAUGUCUUUAGCAGUAUUAAUAGGGGUUUAGUUAACUCAACUUGGAUACAGUCCAAGACAAGCUUGGAAAUAAUAGUUAUGGCACCAGGUUUCAUAGACCACUCUCCAAUAUGUGUUCAUGUUUAUGAUAGACAACCUAAUGUGACUAGAAAAUUUAAAUUCUUUAACUGGGUAGCUCAACACCCUGAUUUUCAGGCCACAAUGAGGUCAUCUUGGUAGGGUAAUAGUGGAGGAUCUCUAAGUAUACUAUGGAGGAAGCUUAUCGAAUUGAAAGGAUAUAUUAAGAAACUAAAUUAGAGGGAAUUUCAAGCACUUAAAGACAAGAUUACAGAUAAAGAGAUGAACUGCAGAACAUUCAAUAGGAUAUGAUCACAAGUUCAGCAUAUCACUAGCUACAAGAUGAGAAGAAAAUGUUAAAGACUAAGGGUGUGUUUGGUAUGAUGGAAAAUAUUUUUCAUAGAAAAUGUUUUCCUGGAAAAAGUUUUUCUGAAAAAUAAGUUGGUUUUCUACUUAUUUUCUCAUGUUUGGUUAGUGAGUGGAAAAUUGGUUGGUGAGUGGAAAAUAUUUUCCGGAAAAUAUUUUAUGGUGUUUGAUUGGUGAGUAGAAAAUAUUUUUUAGAGAUAUAUUUUCUAGUGAUUGGUUGGUGAGUGAAAAAAUAUAUUUUAGAAAAUACUAUUAACUGUUAACUAGUAUAUCACUGCCUGAACUAAUUUAAUCAUAACAAAUAAUAUCAAUAUCGAGUAUUAAGAUAUUACAAGUCAUUAAUUUUAAGCAUUUACUAAUUAGCAAACAUAGAAGACACUUUUUAACAUUUUAUCAGGACAAUCUCAAGAUACCACAAUCAAUAGAGAUACAAUUGAACGACGAGCUUAUUCAACCUUGUAAAACAAGCUACAACGCUGACAAAAUGGAAUAUGCAAUUAGCAAAAGUAACAUAGGUAAGUCUUCCUCUAUGCACAUGGAAAUAACAAUACAUUCAACGAACAUUGGAAACAAAGAAAAAUUUGGACUUCAAUAUUUUUAUAUCAAGCAGUGAAAAAUUGGAGCAAAGCACAGGGAAAAUGUUUCUGAGUAAUGUGAAUUUGAGUGUUGUUGGGAUGGGGGAAGAGGGGUGGGGGUGGGGGCAUAAAAGUCACAUAUGUUAUUUUCUGGAAAAUGACUUCCCUUGGCCCAUGAGGGAAGUUAUUUUCCCUCAAAUAGAGGAAAAUAAGUUAUUUUGGAAAACAUUUUCCCAAUGUUUUAGUACAACCAAAUAAGGGAAAAUAAGAAAACAUUUUCCAGAAAAUAUUUUUCAUCAUACCAAACACACCCUAAAUUAGAAAGAUGGUUGACUGUAGAGGAAAGUGCACUCAAGCAAAAAUCUAGGAUAAGUUGGAUUAAGCUUGGAGAUGAUAAUAAUGCCUUUUCCAUCCAUGUGUAAGGAAUAGAGUUGCUCAAAAUCAAAUAAGUUAUCUUCAUUCCUUUUAUGGUAGAAUCUUGAACACUAUUAAGGAUAUCCAAAUUGAGGUUUCUCAUUUUUAUAGGAAACUGCUGGGAGAGGCUGCUAGACAAAUCCUAGCAUACAAAGGGUUGUUAUGCAAAAUGGUAGGUUUCUAAAAAGACAACAACAAAUUCAACUAAUUUCCCCUAUAACCAGAAGUGAGGUAAGAGAUGCUCUUAACAGUAUAGAUAACAAUAAAGCCCUUAGAGAGGACGGAUUUAAUGUAUUAUUCUUUAAAGAAACAUCAGGUACUGUAGGAGAAGGUAGAGGAUGUAGUAAUGGGGUUCUUUACUGAGUGUUAUAUCCCUAAAAUAGCAAAUUAUACUAUGGAGACUUUGAUUCCUAAAGUUAAACACCCUACAAAUAUCAGAGAAUAUAGACCUUGUUAUAGUGUUAUAUACAAGGUGAUUUCAAAAAUCCUAACAAGGAGGAUAGAUACAGUAAUGCAUGGAAUUAUGGAUGCUAGUCAGUUAGCCUUUAUCCCUGAAAUGAGUAUCUCUGAUAAUAUAAUAUUAAUUCAUGAGCUGGUUAAGGGUUACACCAGGAAGGGUAUUAGUCCAAGGUGCAUGAUGAAAAUAGAUAUAUAGAAAUCUUAUGACUUAUUGGAGUGGGUUUUUAUUAAGAAAGUUCUUAUUAACUUACAGUUUCCUAAGAAUUUUAUGCAGUGUGUCAGCAUAAUAUCUUAACUCUAUUACAAUAAAUGGUCAUCUUUCUCCUCCUUUGAUGCUAAGAAAUGAUUGAGGCAAGGUGACCUUCUAUAACCAUACUCAUUUGUGCUUGCUAUGAAAUACCUAAGUAGAUUGCUGAAAACCCUUCAAUAUGAGACCAUGCUUCAAUAUCAUCCAAGAUGCAACAAGCUACAAAUUGUCCAGCUAAGUUUUGCUGAUGACCUACUGUUGUUCAGUGAAGGAAACAUUCAGUCAGUGCAACAACUAUUUCAUUGCUUUACUACAUUCUCAUUAGCCUCAGGCCUGUAGGCUAAUCUUAACAAGUGUUCAAUUUAUUUUGGUGGUGUUAAGCAGAAUGUACAAGACAAGAUCUUAGAGCUAACAGGUCUAUAAGGUAUCUAGGAGUUCCUCUGAGUACUAAGAGAGUAUCCUUGGUGCAGUGUCAACCUCUCUUGGACAAAAUGCGGGUAGAAUAACUUCAUGGACUAAAAAAUUUCUUAGCCAUGCUAGUAGACUACAACUGCUUAAGUCUGUUAUGUUUUCCAUCCAAACAUACUGGUCUUAACUAUUUCUUAUGCCUAAAGAACUGUUAGAAACUAUUGAAAGGAUAUGUAACAUUUUUUUGGACAAGAGGGGUUGAUUUCUCUAAGAAAGCUUUAGUGGCCUGGGAGAGAGUGUGUUUACCCCUUGAGGUAGGUGGUUUGGAUCACAUUAAUCUGAUCUACUAGAAUAAAGCUAUUUUAUGUAAACUUUUAUGGAGCCUGAGUAGGAAGCAGGAUGCACUAUGGAUUAAAUGGGUACAUGCAUAUUAUAAUACUGGUGAUUCAGUUUGGGGCAUAAGGCCUAAGCAAGCUUGUUGGCUUAUCCAGAAAUUCCUGAAAGCAUACACGUUGAGAAUAAAAGUUCAAAAGUAUAUUGAGAAUGUAGGGAUCAAUGAAGUAGAGUGGAUACUGAUGAAUCAAUUCUCUAUUAGGGAAAUAUAUUAUAAUCUGUUAGGUGAUCAUCCUAGAGUAGAUGGAGAAGACUAGUCUGCAACAAUCCUGGUGCAACAAAGUAGAAGUUCAUUUUAUAUAUGACAGUAUUUGAUAGAUUCUUAACAAAGGAUAGAUUGUGUAAGUGGAAUAUGCAAGUCAGUCCUUAGUGUCCAUUAUGUGAAGAUGCAGUGGAAUGCCAUGUCAUUUAUUUUUUAGUGCCCUGCUACAGACAAAGUGUGGAGAAAGUUAUUGCACUGGCCAGUCUCAGAGCUGGUUAGUUGAAAUUCAGCGGAGUGUGGCUAACAAGCAAGUAGAGGAGGUAAACUCACUAUGUAUAGAAUGACCCUUGCAGUUACAGUUUAUGAAGUUUGGAUGGAGAGGAAUCACAAAGUAUUUUGAAGCAGUAGGAAACCAACGGUUAUGGUCCACAAGAUUAUUCAGGAAGUAAUACCGCAUGCUAGGAUGUAGGACAAUCUUAGCAAAUGUAUAGAACAACUCAAUCAUUAUCUAGUGUAACUGGGUGGUAGUAUUUCCUUGAAGGAGUACCCUAGGUUGGGUGUGUCCUGUUGGGUCAUCCAAUUUUCUUUUUUUUUUUGAUCCUGUAAUGUGUAACUUUUGAUAAUAAAAUGAGGCUAGUUACCAAAAAAUAAUAAAAACAUAGAGAGUUAUAUAUGCUCCAAUCAUCAUCAUCAAUGACAUUUUCGAUUUUAUUUAAAGAAAAGAAGAGAAAAAUAAAAUAGUAAUAUAGUAAUCAUUGAAUGAAAUAAAGAAUUAUGAUGUCAAAUAAAGAAUUAUGUGUGUGGGUGUGUAUGUGGGGUGUAAUGACCCUCUAGGUCAUUUCCUUAAUUUACAAGCAUUUCUAAUAGUUUGAGCCUUCCCACAGCGGCUAUAUGUCAUUUAUGACUUGCCAAAAUUGUUUGUUUGGUUAUCAGGAAAUUUGUUUAGGUUUUAGGCUCAUUUUCCUAUAUUGGAGCUUUCCUUAUUAAGGAAUUAGUCGCAAACUAAAACUCUUAGUAGAUGACCUCUGAUGAGAAUUCCGACAACUCCAUCAGCUUCAGAACAUUGAUUUUAGGCUAGGAGGAUCCUUGGUUCAGGUUACGAAGCUUCCAGACUCGUUUUGGAUUAUUGGAUGGAUUAUAUGAAAAAUGAAACUAUAGGUGUGGGUUCCACAUUUAGUCAAAAUAAUUUAGUAGGAAAGUUUUGAUGGUUCCAUUGACUCUAAAACAUUGAAUUUGGUAUGGUAGCAUAGUGCAUUUGCGCUCACGGGGUUCCAAAUGAAUUUCGAGCACCCAGUCGAAGUCCAUUUUUGGAAUUAGCAAAAUUUGAUAUCCGGUUUCUAAUAUGACCACUUUAGCAGUCAUGUAGCCACUUUAGCGACAUGCGCUUUAGCUCCAUGAGCCACUUAAUCAGCCUUAGCCAUUGGGUUAAGGUCCACUUUAGUAGUCAAGGGCCUCUAAAACAGGUACCACUUUAGCGCCAAGGUGACCGCUUUAGCGGUACCUACCCCUUGCGCUAGAUUGCUUUAGUGAUAGCUGCUUUAACGGCUGGGAGACCAUGACACAAUCCGACCCCGGGCUUUGUCGUAAUAGGCAUUCCAAGUCCAAACAGGACCGGGGACUGCCCCUUUUACCUGACCCAACCACCUUUAUCCAGCCUUAGAUGAGCUGAAUUUCAAACAUAUAACAAGAUAGCGUUAUUGUUCUCAUUAAGACUUUGGGACAGGGUCAUAACUGUGACUGACUCAAUAAAGUCCAAUCGUACCGCAAUAACCACCCAAUCAUACCAACCAAACCAUAGAUCAUAAACCAAAGAAAAUACCAAAACACAAUAUGAAAAUCAACCCUAAAAUGUAAUAUGACGGAAGAAUGAGAAAUUAUGUUCGAUGAUGCUAGCCUCAAUAUCAAUACCAGUGCUAAGGCUGACACCUCUACCGAUACCGCCCAUACCAACCCCUAUAAGUACGACAAAGCCUCUAUCCGAAAGAGUUAACAAAUUCGGUUGGGACAUGCCACCAACCAUGGCCAAAAUCGAUACCCAAAAUAAAAGAUAAAGAGUCUAAAUAAAUUCAUAACUUGAAAUAAUGCCUUCCGAAAGGAUGGAAGCUCACCACUUCAGUCUAAGUGCUAAUACCGAAUCUGUGUGCUAAACAGGAGGAGUAGAAUGGUCCGUUCCUGCAUAGCAUGGGUAUACAGCUGCCAGUAGACAGGGCUAGUGAAUAACCGCUAGCAUGCAACUCAGGAUAAGGAUAGAAUAAUGCCAGUGAUAAAAUCAAGUGAAACCAUCCAUAAUGCAUACAACCAUACAUAUAUAAGUGUCGAGAAAGGGAAUAGGGUUUAGCAUGCAUUUAAAACCUUUACCUAGGUUGUGUAGCUUUGCCGUCCUAACCACCCAUGGGCCAUAUGGGUUCAGCUCCCCAUGUUGAAAGGGCCCCAGUGCGUGUAGCCACACGAUCAAGGAGUAUCCCAUGGGAUAACAAGUACAUACCUCCAUUAUAAAAUGUGACACUCGAACUUGGUUAUCGAAGACCCCUCAUAUCAACAAAUAUGAGUUUACAGUUUCGGCCCCCCAAGGACCACCACCUUCCACGGCUUAGCUACACACUCCGCCAUUAAUGUCCAAUUAAAACCAUGUCCAGACAAUUCAUAUACCAUUUAUUAAUCAAGGCCAAUAUUAGUGGUAUCGUCAUACCACCCCAUUACUUGCAAGUAAUAUCCAUAGCCAAACCAUUUAGGUUAGGGGACCUUAGGUGCCCCUCAUUUUACCAUAUUAAAUCCACUUGGGAGACUUCCAUAUUCUCCAUAAGCAUAAUCAUUUAACCUUUAGCCUUUUCAAACCUUUUAAACCUCGCAUAAAUCCUUUAUCUAAUUUAAAACAUGCAAGAGUUCCAUUAAAAGAAGUCAAUGCAAUGAAAAUAUCUUUAUAAGCAUUUUGUCAAACACCUUAGGGCAUAAUAUAACCAAAACCAAUUUCAAAGACCAUUAAACCAUUAACAUGCAAUCCAAUUGUCCAAAUCAACCAUUAAUGCAUAAUAAAGCAUAAUUAAAACCAUAGGAAAUCAUAACCAAACAUUUAAUAGCAAAACCCCCAAAUAAUAAUUGAAAACCAUAAUCAUGAAAUAGUAAAAUCAUGAAAUCAAUCAUAUAAACCAUGCCUUUAGUUGAAAUUACAAUGAGGGAAGAGAAUCAUGACUUAUACUGAAGAAUUGACGGAAAGAAAUCACCAAAGCAAGCCCCAAAGAAAUCCUUGAGAUCAAAAGCUCUUGAGAGAAUUAUAAGAUGUUUUGGAAUAGUUUCUAAGUGUUAAUGAAUAGAAUAAUAGGGUAAAUAACCUCCUAAGUGUAUUAGAAGUCAUGGAUCCUAAUUAGGGUAAGUAGGAAAAUAUCCAGAAUACCCCCUCUUAAAUUCCUUAAAAACCCGUCACACGGAUAUGACUGACCCAUACGAGUCGUACCCUCCUAUACGAUCGGUAUCCACCACUCGUAUCCAAGCCUUAAUCCCUUGAUCAAACGCUAUCCAGUAAAUGACUCAUCCAACCAAGUCGUAACCAUAACAUACGAUCCGUACCCAUGACCUGUAUCCCUGGCUGAAUGAAAUACUAGAAGGAUCAAAUAAUUCCAACCAUACGAGUCCUUGAUUUGACUCGUACCAAGCCUUACGACUUAUACCUUUAAGUCUUACCCAUUCCAGUGACCAAAACCAUCCCACCAACUAACACUGGCAUACCCCAGCAUACGUCUCGUACCCAUAAGUCGUAUUGGAUCCGGAGAACAAAUUUCCCAGAAAUUUUCUAAGGGUCAAAACCCUGGAUGUUUCAGUCUCCCCUACUAGGAACAUUUGUCCCCGAAUGACGGACAAGGUAGAGGUAACCACAUAUAGAGCCAUUGUAACACCCCGAAAAAUGAGUCCCGGAGUAUCACACGGUGCUUGAGGCUACGAGUAGCCCCAAGCUAACCCUUUGAGCCAUUUUCAUUCAGUUCAACACAAAUCAACGGGGUUUCCAUAAAUAACCCUCAAAUAUCAACAGAGUAAUCAUUAUCCAAGAAUAAAAGAAUUUCAGAAAGAUAACAAAAUACGACUUAUUAGUGCCUCAACUGACUCAUACUCAGUUAUCAAAUGUAAACGAUUCCAUGAAACUAACAUCAGACAUCACGUCCUCGGAACAUGAGGACUCACCACAACAGAGGAUGUAGAACAGCAUGCUCGAAGAAUCAUUGUCGAACCUGGAACUGAGCACCUAAACCUACANNNNNNNNNNNNNNNNNNNNNNNNNNNNNNNNNNNNNNNNNNNNNNNNNNNNNNNNNNNNNNNNNNNNNNNNNNNNNNNNNNNNNNNNNNNNNNNNNNNNNNNNNNNNNNNNNNNNNNNNNNNNNNNNNNNNNNNNNNNNNNNNNNNNNNNNNNNNNNNNNNNNNNNNNNNNNNNNNNNNNNNNNNNNNNNNNNNNNNNNNNNNNNNNNNNNNNNNNNNNNNNNNNNNNNNNNNNNNNNNNNNNNNNNNNNNNNNNNNNNNNNNNNNNNNNNNNNNNNNNNNNNNNNNNNNNNNNNNNNNNNNNNNNNNNNNNNNNNNNNNNNNNNNNNNNNNNNNNNNNNNNNNNNNNNNNNNNNNNNNNNNNNNNNNNNNNNNNNNNNNNNNNNNNNNNNNNNNNNNNNNNNNNNNNNNNNNNNNNNNNNNNNNNNNNNNNNNNNNNNNNNNNNNNNNNNNNNNNNNNNNNNNNNNNNNNNNNNNNNNNNNNNNNNNNNNNNNNNNNNNNNNNNNNNNNNNNNNNNNNNNNNNNNNNNNNNNNNNNNNNNNNNNNNNNNNNNNNNNNNNNNNNNNNNNNNNNNNNNNNNNNNNNNNNNNNNNNNNNNNNNNNNNNNNNNNNNNNNNNNNNNNNNNNNNNNNNNNNNNNNNNNNNNNNNNNNNNNNNNNNNNNNNNNNNNNNNNNNNNNNNNNNNNNNNNNNNNNNNNNNNNNNNNNNNNNNNNNNNNNNNNNNNNNNNNNNNNNNNNNNNNNNNNNNNNNNNNNNNNNNNNNNNNNNNNNNNNNNNNNNNNNNNNNNNNNNNNNNNNNNNNNNNNNNNNNNNNNNNNNNNNNNNNNNNNNNNNNNNNNNNNNNNNNNNNNNNNNNNNNNNNNNNNNNNNNNNNNNNNNNNNNNNNNNNNNNNNNNNNNNNNNNNNNNNNNNNNNNNNNNNNNNNNNNNNNNNNNNNNNNNNNNNNNNNNNNNNNNNNNNNNNNNNNNNNNNNNNNNNNNNNNNNNNNNNNNNNNNNNNNNNNNNNNNNNNNNNNNNNNNNNNNNNNNNNNNNNNNNNNNNNNNNNNNNNNNNNNNNNNNNNNNNNNNNNNNNNNNNNNNNNNNNNNNNNNNNNNNNNNNNNNNNNNNNNNNNNNNNNNNNNNNNNNNNNNNNNNNNNNNNNNNNNNNNNNNNNNNNNNNNNNNNNNNNNNNNNNNNNNNNNNNNNNNNNNNNNNNNNNNNNNNNNNNNNNNNNNNNNNNNNNNNNNNNNNNNNNNNNNNNNNNNNNNNNNNNNNNNNNNNNNNNNNNNNNNNNNNNNNNNNNNNNNNNNNNNNNNNNNNNNNNNNNNNNNNNNNNNNNNNNNNNNNNNNNNNNNNNNNNNNNNNNNNNNNNNNNNNNNNNNNNNNNNNNNNNNNNNNNNNNNNNNNNNNNNNNNNNNNNNNNNNNNNNNNNNNNNNNNNNNNNNNNNNNNNNNNNNNNNNNNNNNNNNNNNNNNNNNNNNNNNNNNNNNNNNNNNNNNNNNNNNNNNNNNNNNNNNNNNNNNNNNNUAGGCUGAAGUAGAUCGACCAUAACUUUUUGGUUCGAUAGACAAAUUGGAUGAAACCAAUUUCAUUGGAAAGAGGACUCACAGAGCUUUCUGUUGAUAUAUAGUAAAUCACCCAGAUCAUUAUGUACAAGGAGUUUUGAUCGUUUAAAGUUGGAGCAAGAAUACGUCAGGCCUCAGUACUUUUCCUGCACGUUUUACUGUUCACUACUAUUCACGGUUCGAUCGGAAUGUUCAUAACUCGUCGCUCGGAUGUUCGUUUUGGAUGAUCCACAUAUCGUUGGAAAGCUUAUUCGAUACUCUACGCAAUGGUGGGUCAUAAUCUAAGACAUUCCGCACGAAAAAAUUUAUAAUUCAUUCUAGAAGAUAGAACCCAACACGUUUAUGCACAAAAUUUCAACGAAAAAUUUCCUGAGGUAUUACAUCAUCCCCCCUUGGAAACAUUUCUCCUCGAAUGACGCUAGACAUACCAAGAUUAGAUAGGGAAUAGAGCAUACAUCUGAAACCAUUCGUUAGACUCAUCACCACAUCGUUUCUCACUCCGAAUGCAACAUAGAAUGCAUAAAUUCAAGAAACUACAGCUGAACACAUAAUAAAUGAUAGCUGAACUGCUGCAACUUUUAUCAAAAGUGCAUGAUUUAGGAAAGAACAGUACCUUCGGCUUGAUCGGAGUUCGCGAAAAAUAUGUGCGAGUACUUGGAUCGCAUAUCCGCCUCAGUUUCCCAAGUUGCACCCUCAACAGAUUGGUUUCGCCACAACACCUUGACCAAGGGAACUUCUUUGUUCCUUAGUCUUCGAACACUGAAAUCAAUAGACAAGAUAUCUAGGGAUCAUGGUCAUCUAGUAAUUGAUUAUCAAAGUAAUGAAAAACCAUUUUAACACGAUGAAAAUUAGAACACGGACAUUAUUUGUAGUAAGCUAAACAAAUAAGUUAAUAUUUCAAGAGUUGAUUUUAGAUGAUUGGAAUUAUAUUAAAUUGAGAAAAAUAAAUUUAAAUGCUGAAAUAAUUUCAAAUGCUGAAAAUUGAGGAAAAAACAAUGCUGAAAUUAAAACUAAAGGUGAAAAAUAUUUUUUAAUGAUGAAAGUUAAAUAAAAAAUAUUGUUGGAAUUACAUUUUAUUGCUUAAAAAAUAGUUUUUAGUGUUGAAAAAUUAAUAAAACACGCUGAAAAUUUGUUUAAUGGCUGAAAAGUGACUUUUUAUUGCUAGAAAUUAACACAAACAGGCUGAAAAUUAAUUUAGCUGCUGAAAAGUGAUAUGCUGAAACUGAUUUUUAUAUUAUUAAAAGUUAUUUUUUAAGUGCUGAAACUAAUUUUUAUAUUGCUUAAACUGAUUUUUGUAUUGCUGAAAAUUAUUUUUAAAGUCCUGAAACUGAUUUUUAUAUUGCUAAAAUUAUUUAAAGUGCUGAAACUGAUUUUUGUUAUUGCUGAAAAUUAAAAUGCUUAAAUCAUUGAAAAUUAAUUACGAUAUCUGAAAAUUAAAUGAAACAUGUUGAAAAUAGGUUUUUGGCCAAAAGUUAGUUAAUAAUCCCUAGAAUAUGAUUUUUAAGGGAUAAAACAAAUUAUUAAUAAUCAUAGAUUGUAUUUGCCUAAGUGAUAACAUAAAUCAUAUAAAUACACUUAAAUACAUAAUCCUCGCACCCAUAAGUAAUUCCCAUAGAUUUUUAUUACAUAGUGUUAUACAAUCAAUUAUUAUAGACCCGGAUGAAUAAAAGAAAGAAAACAAAUAGGCGACCUAAAAUCCUUGACAACUCUUCAUAUUCCCGGAGCCAAAUCAUACUCUAACAUAAACCUGUCAAGCAUAAAUACAAACACCAAAAUAUGCAAAUAACAACAAUGUAUAACAACUUAUGAUAGCUCACAUAAAUAGAACAAUGACAUCAUAUGAAUAAGAGUUUGGAGCACAAUCAAAGUAAUAACUAAAGUUACGCAUAACUAACACGUAAGUAUUGAAUGCACAGUUAAAAAAACUAACCAAUUGACAGUUCUCAAUAAUAACAAUAAACUUAAUAGAAGACCAGAAAAUCAAGGAAAAAAUCAAAGUCCAUCCUUGCGAAGCAAUAACAAAAAAUAAGAAUCAUAAAGUAUAUAUAUUUUCUAGAGAGAAAGUUCAUGCUUAAAAUUUUCUUUUUCUUUAAUAUAUGAGAGAGUAGGAGAAGAGGAUAAAAGAUGAUUAUAAAGAAAAGAGAAGGGUUGUUUUAGUCUCAAAAAUAAAAGAAAAGGAAAAUAUUUUGUGAAAUCAAUCAAAUGAAAUUUUUCCUUUUAACAAAUAAAAAAAUCAAUUAAUGGAGGGAAUUAUACUUGGUUAUCAUAUAUGAAAAAAUUCAUCCCCAAAAUAAAAGAAAGAAAAUAUUCACAAUAAUCACACAAUCAUACUUAAAUAUGUUAACAAAGUCAGGACAAAAUAAUUAAAAUAUUGGGUAUGAUAUCAUACGGAUUCUUUAUUAUAUAUGAUUAAAUAUCAAAGUUGUCUAAAAUUAAAAUUUUAAAAAAGAUGGUUGGUCCAGAAUCAUACCAUAAUUAGCCGCCUAGUGCUAGCCAAGAAAGUAAUUCAACCACACGUAAGAUAACUAUCAUAAUUCGAAUCUGAAAAGAUCAAAAGUAUUAAAAUUCCAACUUGAUUCGAGGAAAAUUGUAAUUAAUAACAAAUUUAGGGUUCAGAUGAAGUUCAUGAAAAUUGGGGCUUUUCAUAUAUGAUUGUCUAAGCAUGUUAAUGAACCCAAAUCACAAGAAAUUAUAUCAAAAACAUCAAUCAAGGUUUGCCAAUUUCAAAUCACAGAAGAAAGAUUAGAGAAAAAUUAAAUAUAAGAUUAACAACAACAACAAAUAAAUAAAUAAGGUAAAACCUGUGAUGAAUUUCAAGAAAUUAUUAUAAAAAUUAGAUAUUUAAAUUGAGUUUUUUAAUCGAUGUCUCACCGAUCAUCAUCUCCAGUGAGGCAAACAUGGCAGAAAUUUCUCUAGAUGGAUUGUGACAGUAGAGACUGUUGUUGAUGGUUGAAGGAAGGUGUAACAGCUAUUGCUGGCUGCUUCUCUGAUGACACUGGUGGUUUUGUUGGGUUUGUCGUAAUUACUGGCGUUAUUUCACGGUUGGCAGCAAUGUGGAAAGAGGAGAGAGAUGUAGUAGCAUGUUAGUGUUUUUAGAGGGAGAAAGAAAGGGGAGAGAGGGGAACGGUGGUGGCAAUGAAAAUGUUGGUCGUUUGGUGGUCAGCUCCGGUGAUGACAUAUCGAUGAGGGAGAAAAGGUAGAGAGAGAAAACAGAAAGGGGUGUGCAGCUGAUUAGAAGAUGUUUAGGGUUAAGAGGUGUUUUUAGGUUAAUAGGAAAGGAAGAGGGAUUCAAUCUCAGUCGUUGGAUCAAUCUUGAUCAAUGAAUGGGAUUAAAAUUGCAUAAAAAAUUUAGGUUUAAAAAUAUGAAUUAGGAAUUUUAAAAUAGGGUCAUAUUGAAAUGAAUUUUGCUAUAAUUGACAUGCAUCGAGUGCAGAAAUGACUAGAAUUCAAAUUAAUUAGGAAAAAUAGUUUAAUUAGGUUACUAUUUAAUAAAUGUAAUAAUAGUAAAACAUCAUAAAAUUAUUUUUUUCCUUAAAAGUACAUUAUGCAUAUAAGAUUAAUAUUAUAUAAAAAAAUAUUAUAUAAAUCUGUCAGUAUAAUCUUAAAUGAAUUUAUAAUAAGAAUAAAAUAUNNNNNNNNNNNNNNNNNNNNNNNNNNNUAAAGAAUAUUUUUAAAUUACGACUGCAUAUUUGCCAAAAUAAAAUUAUGUAAAAUAUUAUAUUAAAAAUAUAUAAAAGUUAUAAAAAAAAUAAAUGCUUACUUCAAAAACCAUUAAUGCGAUACGUCAAUAUUUAUUUGAUAUCAAAAUAAUACGAAAAAAAUACUAAUAGUCGAACUUAAUAGUUUUUUUUGGAUAAAAUAGCAACCUAAGAGGCAUAUCAGGAGGUUAAAAUUGGGUGUCAACAGUUGCCCCUUCGUUGCUUGAAAAUGAUAAAAGAAUUGUUGAGCAACAAAAGAUGACAUAGUAGCCAAUUUUUUCUGAUCGAGAAAAUAGUUUGUUGGAAUUAACGCAACAGGAGAUGGUUAUUAAAACAGUGUGGUUUAGACUUUGGAUUUCAGCCACCUACAUAUCUCUGAUGUCACGAGAAUCAGGAUGUAUGUAGUUCUAGAUUUAGGAAUGAAUGGGAUUCCUAAAGAAAGAUUGAUGAAUGUAGAAUUUGAAUAAUAAUGACACAAAUAGACAAGAUAAGAGUGUGAGUAGUUUCGAAAUAUGAAAUAUGAAUAUGUUUUAGGACAUGUAAAGAAAAAUAUGGAUAAAGAAUUAUGUUUCAAAAGUAGGAGAGAGAUAAUUGUUUAAUCGCUCUUAUCUACUGAAAAUUCAAUAGUAUCUCAAAUAAGGUUCGGUGAGAAACCCAAUGUCAUGUUAAGGUUCUACAAGGAACCCAAUUGCGUUAAGGUUCUACAUGGAAUCCACUAUUAAAUAUCGUUUUAAGGUUCAAUGAGGAACCCAAUAUUGAAUGUCAUUUUAAGGUUCAGUUAGGAACCCAAUCUCAAAUGUCGUGUGAGGAACCCAAUGCCGAAUGUCAUUUUAAGGGUCGGUGAGGAACCCCAUGUCGAAUGUCAUUUUAAGGUUCGAUGAGGAACCCAAUGUCAAGUGUUGUUUUAAGGUUCGACUAGGAAACCAAUGUCAAAUGUUGUUUUAAGGUUUGGCAAGAAACUCAAUGUCGAAUGUCAUUUUAAGGUUCGAUUAGGAACCCAAUGUUGAAUGUCAUUUUAAGGUUCCGCGAGGAACCCAAUGUCGAAUGUCAUUGUCAUGACCCAAAAAAUGACCUGGCUAUGAUAGGCAUCUCAAGUCCACUGAGGAACGUAGACCACCCCCUUUGCCUAUCCAAACAGAACACAAUACAACUAGAAAUGGAUGAAUUCCAAACAUAUACCAAGAUAGACCCUUGUUCUAAACAUAUAACAAGAUAGUUAAGAAACUAGGUCAUAAAUAAAUCUAAGAACUUUAACAUCCAUCACAAUUUACAGUAAUUCAUAAAGCCUCUAGUAAUCAAUAACAACCUAAGUCGGGAAAUGCCCUCGACCAUAGUCAAAAUCAAUCCAAAAGUAAUAGGCCAAAACAUGAAUAAAAUGAGACCAUAAAAUGAGGGUAUUUUGGAUAAUAGAAGCUCACAACUUCAAAGAUGACUGAUGAACUAUCUAGGAAUCACCUAUCACUGCGCAGGGAAAGCAGAAGUGUCUCCAUUUCCUACAUUAGGUGGGGAUACAACAUUCGGAGACGGUUAGCAGGGUGAACACUAGCAUGUAACUCAAGAUAAGGAUAAAAUAAUGCCAUUUCAAAAUCCAAUCCAAACUCAAUGUACAUGUUCAUAUACAUACAUAUAUACAUACAUAUUUAUUUCAGAUGCCAGGAUAAAGAACAAGGCUUAGCAUGAUAUUUAAAAUCAUUAACCUGGAGUGUAUACCUCUAACCAUCCUAAGGGCAUCCAUGGGCUAUAUGGGUUCAACUUUUCUUCCCCCCGAGACCUCCACCUUUCACAGUGAGCUACACAAUAUCCUUUAAGCCCAAUUAAAAUAAUUUUCCCAUAACCCAUCCAUUUAACCAAGAAAUUAUUCGUUAACGCAUCAACCACAGGUAUCGUCAUACCAUUACGUUGAAAGCUUAAGAUUCUGCCAUAGCAAUUCCAUCAAUUGGUGGAAUCCCAUGACCCUUUCUUUUAUUAAAUCAAGUUGGAGGAGUGCCCACGACCCUCUUUGUUCAUUAAAUCAAGUUUAAAAUAAAAAGCAUGGACAAUAAAUCCUUCAAAACCCUUUUUAUCUAUUUAACCAUUUAUGCAAUGCAAUUGUUUAGGAGAAUAAGCCAAAUCGUGUGAUUAAAUAUAUUCUAAAUCCAACUAUGCAAGUGGGUUGAGGGAACGCAAUUCCUAAACCAAAUUUCAAAACCAAAAUCAUCAAUUUAGGUGAAUACCUCAACCCCCAUUCCAUUCACCCUACCCAUGCACCCAAAGGGAUUCAAAAUACAUUAAUAAAACAUGAACACUUGUAUUAAAACCAUGAAAAUUUAAAUCAAGUAACAAUCCUUCAAAACCCUCAAUCCAAUUCAAAAUCCAUAUUCAAAUUCACAUGAAUGACCAUUUAAACACAUGAUUUAAGUACGACGAGUUUAAGAAUAGAGGUACAUGCCUGAAAGUAUUAGGAAUUAUAGAGGGAAAUUAAUCUCUAAGCCCUAGAUGAUCAACCUUGAGAAACCCUAGCCUUGUUCUUGCUUUAAGGAAUUUGAGAAAAUAGAUGUGUAAUUUGAUUUCUUUUGGAGUGAUAAUAAGACCCAAAAGUGCUCGUAAGUCAUGGGUCAUAAUUGGGAAAAGAGGGAAAUGAGAAAAGUGCCCUCAAUUACAGCAAAAGAAAAUUUGUUGCCUGUGACUGCGAGUCACGUCACGACUUAUGAUGCCUGGUUAUGAUUCAUCACCACAACUCAUAGUCUAGGUGGAGACAUGGGGACACCUUACUAUUUGUCAUACCUCAUGAUUUUUCCUAGCUUAAACUUGUCUUGAGAAUGACAAUGAGUAGAUUGUAGAAUAAGUGGUGUUUUUGUCCUAUGGAAUUCUUUAUAUUUAGACUUUCUAUUGUGUAGGAAAUUGAAUUAGCUUUCCAAGAAUAUAAGAUUCUCCUAAAUCCGAUAAUCGGGUAAGAAGUUAUGGCUAUUUUAACUGUCAAUCGUAAAACACCGUCAUUUAGACCCUUAGCGCGUUGCAGAGUAGUGUUAAUUUCUAAUUGUUAAUUUUUAGUGACCCUCCACAAUAUUGAAAUAUCGUGGAGAGAUCCAAAUUCCUAAUUGUCUAAUUCUAGAGAAGGUUAGCGAUAAUGGCGCGUCGCGCUGAGUUUCCAGGUCCCAUCCAAGGAGGCAGGGCGAUACCUCCGCGUCGCGCCACUAAGUAUUUUCCUAGUUGGCAUUUUCCGGUGGCUUUGCGCGAUAGUGUCGCAUCUCUAAGGCCAAAAAUUGGGACCCCAGUUUAUUUUUCCAGUUUCGUUCAGGAGUUAAAGAGAGGUAUUUUGGACUUUUCCCCAACCCCCAAUCCGUCCUAACACAUGAUUAAAGCCUUUUAGAAGAAACAUAUGCUAAGUUUCAUCAAAAUUACUCUCAUCCAAAACCCUAGGCUUCAACAUUCAUGUCCAAGAAACUCAAAAUUUCACAAUCCUUUUUCCAAGCUGAAAGGGUCCCAGUGCGUGUUAGCCGCAUGAAUCAGGAAUAUCCAAGGAUGAUCCAGGGGAUGCCUCGACCACAGUUAAUCCCAAAUAUAUAUAAGUACAAACUAUGCACACGUUCAUAAAGACUCCCAAGCCGACAAACAUGGUUUCCAGUAUCGAUCCCCCCGAGACCUCCACCUUUCACAGUGAGCUACACAAUAUCCUUUAAGCCCAAUUAAAAUAAUUUUCCCAUAACCCAUCCAUUUAACCAAGAAAUUAUUCGUUAACGCAUCAACCACAGGUAUCGUCAUACCAUUACGUUGAAAGCUUAAGAUUCUGCCAUAGCAAUUCCAUCAAUUGGUGGAAUACCAUGACCCUUUUUUUUAUUAAAUCAAGUUGGAGGAGUGCCCACGACCCUCUUUGUUCAUUAAAUCAAGUUUAAAAUAAAAAGCAUGGACAAUAAAUCCUUCAAAACCCUUUUUAUCUAUUUAACCAUUUAUGCAAUGCAAUUGUUUAGGAGAAUAAGCCAAAUCGUGUGAUUAAAUAUAUUCUAAAUCCAACUAUGCAAGUGGGUUGAGGGAACGCAAUUCCUAAACCAAAUUUCAAAACCAAAAUCAUCAAUUUAGGUGAAUACCUCAACCCCCAUUCCAUUCACCCUACCCAUGCACCCAAAGGGAUUCAAAAUACAUUAAUAAAACAUGAACACUUGUAUUAAAACCAUGAAAAUUUAAAUCAAGUAACAAUCCUUCAAAACCCUCAAUCCAAUUCAAAAUCCAUAUUCAAAUUCACAUGAAUGACCAUUUAAACACAUGAUUUAAGUACGACGAGUUUAAGAAUAGAGGUACAUGCCUGAAAGUAUUAGGAAUUAUAGAGGGAAAUUAAUCUCUAAGCCCUAGAUGAUCAACCUUGAGAAACCCUAGCCUUGUUCUUGCUUUAAGGAAUUUGAGAAAAUAGAUGUGUAAUUUGAUUUCUUUUGGAGUGAUAAUAAGACCCAAAAGUGCUCGUAAGUCAUGGGUCAUAAUUGGGAAAAGAGGGAAAUGAGAAAAGUGCCCUCAAUUACAGCAAAAGAAAAUUUGUUGCCUGUGACUGCGAGUCACGUCACGACUUAUGAUGCCUGGUUAUGAUUCAUCACCACAACUCAUAGUCUAGGUGGAGACAUGGGGACACCUUACUAUUUGUCAUACCUCAUGAUUUUUCCUAGCUUAAACUUGUCUUGAGAAUGACAAUGAGUAGAUUGUAGAAUAAGUGGUGUUUUUGUCCUAUGGAAUUCUUUAUAUUUAGACUUUCUAUUGUGUAGGAAAUUGAAUUAGCUUUCCAAGAAUAUAAGAUUCUCCUAAAUCCGAUAAUCGGGUAAGAAGUUAUGGCUAUUUUAACUGUCAAUCGUAAAACACCGUCAUUUAGACCCUUAGCGCGUUGCAGAGUAGUGUUAAUUUCUAAUUGUUAAUUUUUAGUGACCCUCCACAAUAUUGAAAUAUCGUGGAGAGAUCCAAAUUCCUAAUUGUCUAAUUCUAGAGAAGGUUAGCGAUAAUGGCGCGUCGCGCUGAGUUUCCAGGUCCCAUCCAAGGAGGCAGGGCGAUACCUCCGCGUCGCGCCACUAAGUAUUUUCCUAGUUGGCAUUUUCCGGUGGCUUUGCGCGAAUUGUUUAGGAGAAUAAGCCAAAUCGUGUGAUUAAAUAUAUUCUAAAUCCAACUAUGCAAGUGGGUUGAGGGAACGCAAUUCCUAAACCAAAUUUCAAAACCAAAAUCAUCAAUUUAGGUGAAUACCUCAACCCCCAUUCCAUUCACCCUACCCAUGCACCCAAAGGGAUUCAAAAUACAUUAAUAAAACAUGAACACUUGUAUUAAAACCAUGAAAAUUUAAAUCAAGUAACAAUCCUUCAAAACCCUCAAUCCAAUUCAAAAUCCAUAUUCAAAUUCACAUGAAUGACCAUUUAAACACAUGAUUUAAGUACGACGAGUUUAAGAAUAGAGGUACAUGCCUGAAAGUAUUAGGAAUUAUAGAGGGAAAUUAAUCUCUAAGCCCUAGAUGAUCAACCUUGAGAAACCCUAGCCUUGUUCUUGCUUUAAGGAAUUUGAGAAAAUAGAUGUGUAAUUUGAUUUCUUUUGGAGUGAUAAUAAGACCCAAAAGUGCUCGUAAGUCAUGGGUCAUAAUUGGGAAAAGAGGGAAAUGAGAAAAGUGCCCUCAAUUACAGCAAAAGAAAAUUUGUUGCCUGUGACUGCGAGUCACGUCACGACUUAUGAUGCCUGGUUAUGAUUCAUCACCACAACUCAUAGUCUAGGUGGAGACAUGGGGACACCUUACUAUUUGUCAUACCUCAUGAUUUUUCCUAGCUUAAACUUGUCUUGAGAAUGACAAUGAGUAGAUUGUAGAAUAAGUGGUGUUUUUGUCCUAUGGAAUUCUUUAUAUUUAGACUUUCUAUUGUGUAGGAAAUUGAAUUAGCUUUCCAAGAAUAUAAGAUUCUCCUAAAUCCGAUAAUCGGGUAAGAAGUUAUGGCUAUUUUAACUGUCAAUCGUAAAACACCGUCAUUUAGACCCUUAGCGCGUUGCAGAGUAGUGUUAAUUUCUAAUUGUUAAUUUUUAGUGACCCUCCACAAUAUUGAAAUAUCGUGGAGAGAUCCAAAUUCCUAAUUGUCUAAUUCUAGAGAAGGUUAGCGAUAAUGGCGCGUCGCGCUGAGUUUCCAGGUCCCAUCCAAGGAGGCAGGGCGAUACCUCCGCGUCGCGCCACUAAGUAUUUUCCUAGUUGGCAUUUUCCGGUGGCUUUGCGCGAUAGUGUCGCAUCUCUAAGGCCAAAAAUUGGGACCCCAGUUUAUUUUUCCAGUUUCGUUCAGGAGUUAAAGAGAGGUAUUUUGGACUUUUCCCCAACCCCCAAUCCGUCCUAACACAUGAUUAAAGCCUUUUAGAAGAAACAUAUGCUAAGUUUCAUCAAAAUUACUCUCAUCCAAAACCCUAGGCUUCAACAUUCAUGUCCAAGAAACUCAAAAUUUCACAAUCCUUUUUCCAAAUUGUUUCAAGAUUUAAGAUCCCUAGACCAAGAGCUUCAAGAAUCUUCAUUCAAGAGCACAAAUAACAUCUCAAAAGAAAGCUUAUUCAAUUAGUUCAUUACCUAAGGUAUGUGGGGUUUGAAAAAGGACAAAUCUUUCGUCCUUAUGCCCAAGAACUUGAUUUUUAUUAAAGAUUACAUAAUUUGCAAGUUAGGGUUGAUACCCAAUUCUUAUUAUUUUUUGUUUAUGAAAUUAUCAUGUUAUUUAAGGCUUCAAUUGCAAAAUAUUUACAUAUAUCCAUGUUUGAAAUCAUGAGAUUUAUAUUGUGAGUUAUUUUCCACUAUCUUGAUUAAGAUUGCUGAAAGUUUCUAAGAUAAUUAUUGAUCAUGAAGUUUAAAUAUGAUUUUUCUAUAUCAAAGCUUUAUACUUUGAGUCCUAAAGUACACGUAAUGAGUUAACAAGGAGAUUAUGAUCUCAAGUUUUAUUGAAAAUUUUUGAUAUGUGCUUUCAAGAGCAAAGAUUUGAUCUUUUGACCCUAAGCUAAGACAAGGAAUCCACAUUUACGUAGUUUGAGUUUUAAAAAAGAGAAGCAUAAUCUGUUUUAAUUAUAAAACCUUAUGAUAUUUUAAGGUGGAUUUCGUCAAGUUCUGAGCAGAAGAAGGGAGUAGUAUUUGACACCAAGUUGGGUAUGAUCCCAAGGACUCAUGCCCCGGAACUACAUGCUACCGUAGGACUAAGUUUAUUCCCACUUCUACAUGGAUGACUAAGAUGGUGAUCACUCAAGUUAAGGUUCUAGUUUGAUGGAAAGGAUAGAACAGCUCUCCCCAAUGUGAUAAGAUGUUGACUCCAUGUCAGCUCAUAUGGUUUAUGCCGGUUAGAAGAAACUUCCAAGCACAAAGUCUCUAAGUCCCAAAGUUUUUAAGUUUCAAAAGAAAAGAAUGGUAGAAAAGCUUUUAUAAGACUGUGUUAUAACUCACUAGAUUUACAAGUAUGAUUGGUUGUACAUGAUUUAUAUUUCGAUAUUUUGGAUAAUCAAACUUAUGUGAGUUGUAUACAUCUACAUGCAUUUACUUUCUAAUUAUGAUGAUGUUUACUUAUACAUUACACCCUCAUAUACUCAGUACAUCCUCAAUGUGCUGAUCCACAUAUACGUCUAUGUGCUACAUUGUCUUAUAAUAUAGGUUCAGGUGCUUCGUAUCAACAACGUGAGUAUUUUGAGCAACUUUAUCUACGCUUCCAAAGUUGGUGAGUCCUCAUGAUUCGAGGUCCUACUUAUUUAGAUUUCCAACUUUAUAGUAUUUUAGUUAUCGUUGUCAAUUUAGUCUGAUACAGUUGGGGGUCUGUUCCAAUGGCUCUCUAGUUCUUUAUAAGUAGUAGAGGCUUGUCGGACUAUGAGUUAUUUACAGAUUUUCAGUAUUUUUUGUUUAGAAUUUAUCUUCAGUUUAGGUAUGAUACAAUAUUAUUUCUUGACUAGAUGAUCUUUAAGUAAUGUUCAGACUUAGUAGCAGGCUCAAAUGGUUAGCUUGAGGCUACUCGUAGCCUUGAGCACCGUGUGACAUCCCGGGAUCAGAUUUUGGGGCAUUAAAAACUUAGUAUCAGAGACUAAGGUUUAGAGAGUCCUAGGGAGUCAAACAAGCCACGUUGCAUAGAGUCUUAAUCAUCGGUGUGAAGAGUACCACAUCUAUGAGCAAGAGGCUAUGGAGCAUUUUAGGAAAAUCCUUUUUUCUUUCAUAAUCCAUCAUGCUUAGAAUUGUCUCUAUCUGCUAUUAAUUCGUGCUCCUUUAUGAUCGAACAUGCCUCCCCGUAAAGCUAAUGCCCAUAGAAAUAAUAACCAACCGCCUCAGCCCGCAGAUUCUUUGAAUGAGAAUGUGUCACAUGUAGAGUUUGGGAUAGCUUUUUAGGCGUUAGCCCAAGCUGUGACUACUAAUAUUAAAGGUAAUCAUCAGGCUACAGUCCUACCUCAGCAGGAUGGGGAUUUAGCCGCAGUCAGAAUUCAAGACUUUAUGAGAAUGAAUCCGUUGGAAUUUUUUGGGUCGAAAGUAGGUGAGGACCCACAAUUGUAUCUUGAUGAGGUGAAGAACAUCACCCAAGUGAUGCAUGUUACUAAGGAAGAGAGUGUAGAAUUGGCAUCCUAUAGGCCAAAGGAUGUUGCUUAUGAUUGGGUAAUGAUGUGGAAGAAGAGUAGAGUGGAGAAUGUAGCUCCCAUGACUUGGCAGACAUUUCAGGAUGCGUUCUUAGACAAAUUCUUCCCACUUGAGAUGAGGGAAUCUAAGAUAGAAGAGUUCAUAAACCUGAGGCAGGGCUCCAUGACAGUGAAGGAGUAUUACCUCAAGUUCAACCAGUUAUCUAAGUAUGCCCAGAUCAGAUGGCUGACCCAAGGUCAAGCAUGAGCAAGUUAGUGACCGGUGUGACUGGAUUGGUAGUUAAGGAGUAUAGAACUGCUAUACUCAAUAGAGACAUGGAUCUUUCUAGAUUGAUGAUGCAUGCUCAGUAGAUUUAGGCAGAGAAGAUGAAGGAAAGAGAGAGAGUAACUAAGAGGGCUAGAAUAGGGAAAUUUGAGUAUGGUCAGACUAGAUCCUAUGGGGGGAAUUGCCCACAAUUUUAGAACCGUUCGUCUAUGCCGGAGCCAUUUUUAGCUAGUGCUAUCACUCUCAGAGGUAGGCAGGAGCAGUAGGGUAAGUCUUCUAAGUCUAGAUUCCAGAAUGGCGUGAUUGGUAAGCCUAAUUAUCCUCCAUGUGCUAAGUAUGGUAAAACACAUCCCGAUGAGUGCUUGGUCGAGCAGAAGAGUUAUUUUGGUUUCGGAAAGUUGGUACACAGAAUUAGAGAGUGUUCAUAUGCUAAGUAUAGAAACAGAGAUAUUUAUCCUCAGAUUCAAGCUACCAGUACACCAACCCUUGUAGUUGGCCCAACUCCUCUUCAGGGCACAUCAUCUAGUACCAGUGGUGGUCAGCACCAGAAUCAAUUUUAUGCUGUGCCAUUUCAUCAGGAACAGGAAUAUUCCCUAUAUAUUGUGACUAGUAUGCUUCGUAUAUUUCAUUUUGAUGUUUAUGUAUUGUUAGACCCUGGGUCAAGUUUCUCUUAUGUGACCCCAUUAGUUGCUGUAAAUUUUAAGAUAAGUUUGAAAAGUUUCCUGAGCCAUUCUUGGUUUCUACUCCAGUAGGUGAGUCAAUUGUUGCCAAAUAGAUUUAUAAAAAGUGUUCUAUCACCGUCCUUCAUAAAGUAAUGUUAUCAGACCUGAUAGAGCUAGACAUGAUUAAUUUUGAUCCUAUUCUGGGUAUGGAUUGGCUUCAUUCUGAUUAUACUUAUAUAGAUUGCCGCACCAGAGUGGUGAAGUUUCAAUUCCCAGAUGAGCCAUUCUUUGAGUGGUCAGGUAAUUCAGUGUCUCCCAAGAGUCAUUUCAUAUCUUAUCUUAAGGCCAGAAGGUUGAUUUCCAAAGGUUGCAUUUACCAUUUAGUUCGAGUUAAAGACACUAAGUCUAAGACCCCAACAGUUCAAACAGUCAAUGUAGUAAAUGAGUUUCCAGAUGUCUUUCCAGAAGAUCUCCCAAGGGUACCUCCCAAUUGAGAGAUAGAAUUUGGUAUUGACCUUCUUCCAGAUACUCAGACUUUUUCUAUUCCUCCUUACCUUAUGGAUCCCACAGAGCUUAAGGAGUUGAAGGAGCCACUUAAAGAUCUCUUAGAUAAAGUUUUCAUAAGGCCUAGUAUUUCUCCAUGGGGAGUUCCCCUCCUAUUCGCGUGAAAGAAAGAUGGUUCGUUGCGUAUGUGCAUUGACUAUCGUCAGCUAAAUAAGGUCACAGUCAAGAAUAAAUAUCCUCUUCCUAGAAUUGAUGACCUGUUUGAUCAAUUAAAAGCUGUAAGUUAUUUCUCAAAGAUAGACUUGAGAUCCAGCUAUCAUCAGCAUAAAGUUAGGGAAUGUGAUAUUCCGAAGACUGCUUUUAGAACUCGUUAUGGUCAUUUUGAGUUUCUAGUUAUGUCUUUUGGGCUAACCAAUGCUCCAGCAGCUUUCAUGGACCUCAUGAAUCAAGUGUUCAAGCAAUACCUAGAUAUGUUUGUCAUACUGUUCAUAGAUGAUAUCCUUGUGUACUCCCGUAGUGAGGAUGACCAUGCAGAUCAUCUUUAAAUUGUCUUGUAAACUCUUAAAGAUCAUUAAUUGUUCACUAAGUUCAGCAAGUGUGAAUUUUGGCUAAGGUCAGUAGCCUUUCUCGGUCAUAUUAUUUUCGCCGAUGGAAUUAGAGUUGAUCCCCAAAAGACAGAAGUCAUAAGAAAUUGGCCUAGACUUAUCUCUCCAUUGGAUAUUAGGAUUUUCUUGGGUCUAGCAGGCUAUUACCACCAUUUUUUUUGAAGGUUUCUCGUUUAUUGCAUCUCUUAUGUCUAGAUUGAUCCAAAAGAAAGUUAAGUUCCUAUGAUCAGAUUCCUGUAAGAAGAGUUUUCAGGAGUUGAAGACUCGAUUCACUUUAUCCCUAGUGUUAGCAUUACUUGAUGGUACAGAUGGUUUUGUGGUGUAUUAUAUUGCCUCUAGAGUUUGUUUGGGUUGUGUGUUGAUUCAGAGAGGUAAUGUCAUAGCCUAUGCCUUUAUACAGUUUAAGACUCAUGAAAAUAAUUACCCAACCCAUGAUUGGAAUUAGCUGCUGUGGUGUUUGCUUUGAAAAUAUAGAGACACUAUCUAUAUGGUAUUAAUAUUGAUGUGUUCACAGACCAAAAAAACUUACAGUAUGUGUUUACUCAGAGGGAGUUGAAUCUCUAUCAGAGAAGGUGGUUGGAGUUGUUGAAGGAUUAUGAUAUGAGUGUGUUGUAUUAUCCGGGCAAGGCAAACGUAGUAGUAGACACCCUUAGUAGAUUAUCUAUGGAAAAUGUUGCUCAUAUUGAGAAUGAUAAGAAAGAUUUAGCUCGAGAAGUUUAUCUCUUGUCUAGAUUGGGUGUUAGGUUGGUUGAUUCAGCUGAAAGGAAUGUUUGGGUUCAGAGUAGUUCUGAGUCUUCCCUAGUUUCAGAAGUAAAGGAGAAGCAAGACAUGGAUUUUAGUUUGGCCAAACUGAAAAAGUCAGUUAAAGGCCAAAAGGUAAAGGUUUUCACCCAAGGGAGAUGACGUGUUGAGAUACCAGUGUAUUAUGUGUGCCUUGUUUAGAUGAUCUGAGACAAAGAAUUAUGGCUGAAGUACAUGGUGCACGUUAUUAUCCAUCUUAGUUCAAUUUUUCACCCUCAGACAGAUGGUCAAACAGAGAGGACCAUUCAAACUCUAGAGGAUAUGUUGGGGAUGUGUGCUCUUGAUUUCAAAGGUAGUUGUGAUGAGCAUUUUCCAUUGAUUGAGUUUUCUUAUAAUAACAGUUACCAUUCUAGCAUUCAGAUGGACUCAUUUGAGGCUCUGUAUGGGAGGAGAUGUAGGUUACCUAUAGGUUGGUUUGACAUAGGUGAGGCCUUUUUGCUGGGGCCUGAUGUAGUGUUUAAAGCCAUAAAAGAAGUUAAGUUGAUUAGAUAAAUAUUGAAAACAACCCAGAGUUGUCAGAAAUCGUAUAUGGAUGUGAGAAGGAGAGAUCUUAGGAUUGAAGUUGGUGAUUUAGUGUAUCUGAAGAUUUCACCCAUGAAAGGGGUGAAGAGAUUUGGAAAGAAGGGGAAACUUAGUCCCCGGUAUAUUAGGCAUUAUUGAAUUUUGAGUCGUGUUGGGAAAGUAGCUUAUGAGCUUCAGUUGGCCAUAGACUUCUCAGUCUUUCAUCCUGUAUUCCACGUCUCUAUACUUAAGAAGAGUAUCGGUGACUCUACUGUUGUAGUUCCUAUAGAAAGCUCAGAUGUUCAGGACAACCUUUCAUAUAAAGAGAUUCCAGUUGAGAUUUUAGAUCAUCACAUCCGUAGACUAAGGAACAAAGAAGUUUUCUUGGUCAAAGUUCUUUGGAAAAAUCAGUCGGUUGAGGGCACUACUUGGGAAGCAGAUACAGAUAUGCGAGCCAAAUACCCUCACCUUUUCCCCGCAAACUCAGGUCUAGCCAAAGGUAAUACUCUUCCUUGAUUCAGUUCCUUUCUAAUAACAUAUCCAACAAUAUAGAUGUCCUCAUGUAAGUUCAUGCACUUACAGAGUUACUUAGAAGCUCAGAAUGAUUUAGAUUUAGUUGUUAGUUCAUUUCAAUUGUGCAUGCUAUCUUAUAUUCUCAUAUUCCUUAUAACUUUCAACUUAACUAGACACAUUGGAGGACGAAUGUUUCCAAAGGGGAGAUAUUAUAAUACCUCACAAUUUUUCCUAGCUUAAACUCAUCCUGAGAACGACAAGGAGUAUCUUCUAGAAUGAGUGGUGUUUCUGUGAUGUGGAAUUCUUUAGAUUUAGACUUUCUAUUGCAUAGAAAUUGAAUUAGGUUUCUAACGAUAUAAGAGUAGCCUAAAUCUUAUAACCGGGUAAGUAGUUAUGGCUAUUUUAAGUUCCAGUCAUAAAACACCGUUAUUUGGAUCCUUAGCGCAUUGCGGAUCAGUGUUAAUUCCUAAUUGUCAAUUUUUAGUGGCCUUCCACGAUAUUGGGAUAUCGCGGGGAGAGCCAAAUUUCCAAUUGUCCAAUUUCAGUGAAGGUCCGCAAUAAUGGCGCGUCGCGUCGAGUUUCCAGGUCCCAUCCAAGGUGGCAACGUGAUACCUCCUCGUUGCGCCACCAAGCAUUUUCCCAGUUAGCAUGUUCCAGUGGCUUGGCGCGAUGUGGCACGUCGCGCCAAGGCUAAAAAUUGAGACCCCCGUUUCAUUCAGGAGUUAAAGGGGGUAUUUUGGACUUUUUCUCAACCCCCAAUCCGUCCAAACACAUGAUUAAAGCCUUUUAGAAGCAUUAUAUGCUAAGUUUUAUCAAAAUUACUCUCAUCCAAAAUCCUAGGCUUCAACAUUCAUCUCCAAGAAACUCAAGAUUUCACCAUCCUUUUUCCAAAUUGUUUCAAGAUUUAAGAUCCCUAGACCAAGAGCUUCAAGAAUCUUCAUUCAAGAGCACAAAUAGCAUCUCAAAAAGCAAGCUUAUUUAUUUAGUUCAUCAUCUAAGGUAUGUGGGGUUUGAACAAUGAUAAAUCUUUUGUCCUUGUGCCCAAAAACUUAAUUUUUAUUAAAGAUUACAUGAUUUGCAAGUUACGGUUGAUACUCAAUUCUUAUUAUUUUUCAUUUGUGAAGUUAUCAUGUUAUUUAAGGCUUCAAUUGCAAAAGAUUUACACAUAUCUAUGUUUGAAAUCAUGAGAUUUAUAUUAUGAGUUAUUUUCCACUAUCUUGAUUAAAAUUGUUAAAAGCUUCUAAGAUAAUUGUUGAGCAUGAAGUUUAAAUACAAUUUUUAUGCAUCAAGGAUUUAUACUUUGAGUCCUAAAGUACAAGUAAUGAGUUUACAAGGAGAUUAUGAUCUCAAGUUUUAUUAACAAGUUUUGAUAAGUGCUUUCAAGAGCAAAGAUUUGAUCUUUUGAUACUAAGCUAAGACAAGGAAUCCACAUUUUUCACAUUAUUUGAGUUUUAAAGAAGAGAAGCAUAAUCAGUUUUAAUUAUAAAUCCUUAUGCUAUUUUAAGGUGGAUUUUCUAAAGUUCUGAGCAUAAGAUGGGAGUAGUAUUUAGCACCGAGUUGGGUAUGAUUCCAAGGUCUUAUGUCGCAAAACUACGUGCCACCGUAGGACAAAGAUUAAUCCCACUUCUACGUGGUUGACUAAGAUGGUGAUCACUCAAGUUAAGGUUCUAUUCCGAUGGCAAGGGUAGAAUAGCUCUCCCCAAUAUGGGUAAGAAGUUAGACUCUAUGUCAGCUCACAUGGUUUAUGUCGGUUAGAAGAAACUCCCAAGCCCAAAGUCUCUAAGUCCCAAAGUUUCUAAGUUUCAAAAGAAAAGAAUGAUAGAAAAGCUUUUACAAGAUAGUGUUAUGACUCACUAGAUUUACAAGUAUGAUUGGUUGUACAUGAUUUUAUAUUUCGAUAUUUUGGAUAAUCAAGCUUAUGUAAGUCAUAUACAUCCACAUGCAUUUACUUUCUAAUUAUGAUGAUGUUUACUUAUGCAUUACACCCUCAUUUACUCAGUACAUCUUCAAAGUGCUGAUCCACAUAUACGUCUAUGAGCUACAUUGUCUUAUAAUAUAGGUUCUGGUGUUCCGUAUCAACAACGUGAGUACAGUUGGUUAGUCCUCAUGAUUCGAGGGCCUAGUUCUUCUGAUUUCCAACUUUUAUAGUAUUUGAGCUAUCAUUUUCAAUUUAGUCCGAGUCAGUUGGGGGUCUGUCCUAAUGGCUCUCUAGUUCUUUAUAAGUAGCAGAGGGUUGUUGGACUACGAGUUAUUUAAAGAAUUUCAGUAGUUGUUGUUCAGACCUUAUCUUCAGUUUAUUCAGUUCAGUUUUGGUACGAUAAUGUAUUAUUUCUUGACUAUAUGAUCUUAAAGUAAGGUUCAGACUUAGUAGCAGGCUCAAAGGGUUAUCUUGAGGCUACUCGUAGCCUUGAGUACAAUGUGAUGUCCUGAGAUCAAAUUUUGGGGCGUUACACUAUUUACCCUACAAGUCAAACCCUACAACUCAUACACGGAUCUUUCGAAUCGUAGGGUCCUAGUCGUAACCACAACAUUGACUUAGGCAUCUACACUGGUUUGACUGCGCAAAGCACCCUAUGACUCAUAAAGAGUUAUUAUGACUCGUGACAUCCCAGUCGUAGUCACAAUAGAAACAAGGGCAACCUUUAUUGGUCACCUCACAACUCGAUCCCUGUGACCCAUAAUAUGACCCUAUGACUCGUUAGAUGAGCCAUAAUCUGAGCAGUGAGGUCUAAACUCAAUAAAUUUUUAGAGGAUAAAAUCUAGGGUGCUACAUUUACCCCUCUAGGAUUAUUCAUCCCCGAAUGAGGUGUCGAAACAUACAUUAUCACAACUAUAAGACAGACACACAACCAUAAUUCCUUUAACAAAGUAAAAAAACAAAUAGAGUAGGAAUAUCCAUACCUUAAGCACGAUUAUCCAAUCCGGGGAAUAAGAACGGGUACUUAGACUUCAUGUCCUCUUCAACUUCCCAAGUAACUUAUUCAACCUUUUGGUUCCUCGAUCGAACAUUUACCAAACCAUAUCCUUAGUCCUCAAAUGAUGGAUUUGUCGAUUCAAAAUAUCUAUCGGGACUUCCUCAUAAGACAAGGAACUCAAAAUAAUAAUAUCUUCAAUAGGCACCACCAAAGAAGCAUCACCCAUGCUCUUCUUCAACAUUGAAACAUGGAAAAUCGGGUGAAUGAAACCCAAAUUUAAAGGCAAAUCUAACUCAUAAGCAACCUUCUCCAAUCUCCUUAAAAUCAAGUACAGACCAACAUAAUGGGGGCUAAGCUUUCCCUUAUUCCCAAACCUCAUCACUCCAUUCAUAGGAGAUACCUUCAAGAACACCCAAUCCCCAACCUCAAACUCACCCUCCCUCUCUCGUAUCCAUAUAGGACUUUUGGCGACUUUAAGCAGUCUUAAGUCUAUCCCUAAUUAUUUUCACCCUCUCCAUGGCUUGGUGAACCAAGUCUGGACCGAACAAUCUAGUCUCACAAACCUUAAACCACCUGAUAAGAGAUCUAUACCUCCUACUAUAAAAGAAGAAAUCCAAAUACUAGAGUGAUAACUAUUAGUAGAUGCAAAUUUAAUAAGAGGCAAAUAAUUUACCUAACAGCCUCUAAAAUCGAUCACAUAUACCCUUAGCAUAUCUUUCAAUGUUCGAAUAGUCCUCUUUGCUUGUCCAUCUGUCUGAGGGUGGAAUACGGUGCUAAGUUUUAUGUUAAUGCCCACGCUACACCUUCACUCUGAAGGUUAUGCAACCGCUAUCAUAUAUAGUAACAUAACAAAGGUUGGGGUCGAAUCCUAAGGGAAUACGCAGAAUUGUGGCUCUCAACUGUUGUAAUCAAUGGGCAGAACAAGAAAAGUAAAUUGGGAGUUCUGAGUAGCAAUAUCAAACAAGUGGCGAAUAUCAACUUUGGCUAUAAUCAGUCAUAGGUAAAUACUAGGAUUGUGUUCCCCCUAGAUUAUCAACUUUAUAGGAUUAUCGUGCAUUGUUGAACUAACCCGAUACCUUGCAUACAAAAUCGAUAAGUUAUAUACCAUCUACAGUCUUUGGAUGAGUAGAUAGAUUUUACCCCUUACCUUUUGAGUCUUAGGAUGUUGCCUUACUAACACUUAUCUUGAUCCCAGUUAAAUAUUACCUUUUGAGUCUCUAGUUAUUAGAGGAAAGCUAGCCAUCUUACUUACAUAAUACCUAGUAGCGUGGAUCGAUAGCUAACCAUUAAAUUAAUGUUGUUAGUAUUUUUUCGUAGUCAUUACUGUUCUUUUGGAAUAAGUAGCAAUAGUCUUGGUGGGAUCCUAAAAUUUACAACUGCUAAGAUAACUUUUAAAUGAAGACAAUACAAUGCAUGCAUGGUAUUGGUUCAAAACAACACUCGCACAUUCCCUACUUUAUCAAUCCACCAUAGUUUCCAUAACCCUAGCUAAGGAUUUUUAGCAGCUCAUGCUUGUGAAGUAAUCAACAACAUUCAUGAUUGAAAGCAUAAGAUUAAAUCACAAUAAUCACAAGUAAGAACCCAAAGCCGUAAUUGAAUUAAUCAACCAAAAUUAAUACAAGAGCAUUCCAAGACCAAAAUUGAAUCCGGUAAUCAAAAUAUGUUUGUCAGUAUCAAGAGUGAGUAACUUCUACUCAAAAACACAUAAGGGGUAUUUAUAGCACUUGAGAAAACCCUAAAACCAAAGCCCGAACAAAAAAGGGUCGGUGGCUACAUGUGGUCUCCUCAUGUGGCUUGGCCUUAGGCACAUGUGGCACAUGCGGACCGUUGGAUGCAUGUGGCCACCACAUGUGCUUAGACACAAAAAUUCUGUGUCUUUACUUCUAGGAUUUUGGACUUCUGACACAUGCUUUGCCUAUAUGCGGUCCAUAUGUGCUAUAUGCGGUCCGCAUAUUGACAUACGUAGGUUCCGAAAGUCUUUUUCAUCACUUCUUCAACUCCAUCAUAUUAUUUAGUCAUGAAAAAUCCAGAAAAUGUCUCAAUACCCAAGAUUGACCAAAAAGUAUCCAAAACACCAUUUUUUAUUUUUUUUACGAUUGCAUCCAAAACCCCGUUUCCUGCAAAACAUGCCCAAAAUGCAUCAUAUCUAACAAAACAACCUAAGAAACUUGCAUAUUUCCAUUGUUUUAAGCAUCAAAUGUGCUAUAUUUCUAUAGCACAUCAACACCCUCAACUUAAAAUGUUUGCAUGUCCUCAGGCAACAAAACACAAAAAUAUAAAACAAAACAAGACAUGACGCUUAAUUAGGAGAAUCUAAGCUAUUUAAGGUAGUCAAUCAACACUUUAAGCUCAUUUCAAACACCACCUCCAAACUCACUUUUUAAAAACAACUGUAUAUAAACAUAAAGCACAAUAAUGUGACACAAUGGGAUCAAGAUGUCAAAUUAUAUUAGCAAAUAGACAACCAUGCAUAUGUACAAGUUACACUACCCAAACACGUAAACAACUAGCAAUAUGACUCAUGCACCCUCACAAUAAAGAUGUCCCACUCACUUAUAUAAAAUUAUGCAUGUCAAUGCAGGGACAGUCAAGAGACACUCAUUCUUAGAAAAGAAGUUUUAAUCAAUGUGCAUCAAAUACCAUAAGCUUGCCCUUAUUUUACCUUAGUAUUUAGUCAGUCAAGUUAGGAUCACUAUAGGACUUUUCUCGGCUUGUAAUAAAGGCUUGGGGGAUGGUAUGGUACAUAUGUACAUAUCAAGUGACUAAGCCUUCUUGGCACUACACUAACCUUGGGUCUUACUUAUUAGCCAAUUUUUCAUUUUAUUUCCACCCUUAUUUCUCUCAUUUUAUUUUAAAGCUCAUUCAGGUUGGGUGUGGUCUUUUAUUCUUUAUUUUUAACUUUUUUUAUAAUUUUUAUUUUCUUUUUUUUUUCUUUUCUUUUGCUACAACACCUAGCCCUGCUAACUUCUUCUCUUAUUUUUCCUUCUACAUACUCACUUUAUAUUACACACCCGUAUGAUAGCCACCCUUAACUUAGGAGAUUUGCUUGAGUUGAGAUGUACAAUAUCCAAGGAAGACCAGGGACAGAAUAGUUUAAUGCAAAACAAAUGGGAAGGUGAUAGGUGAAAUAAGAAAAAUAGGCUAUAAGGCUCAAAAUAGGGAUCAAGGGAUACUAUUUCACACAGAGAAGGUCAUUUAGGCUAAUAGUGGACUAAAAUAAAAAAAUGACCUAUGAUUAUUUCCUAACCAACUAUCCUUCAACCUAAGACAAGACUAAUCAAACAAGUUCUGAAUUCAACCCAGAAACAAAACUAAGCAGAUUCUCACACACACAUGGCACAAAGUCAAUAUUUCAAGCUACUACCUAUCCGAUUCAUGCAACUGUUAGCAAAUGAUUAUCAUGUCUCUAAUACUAAUGCUAUAAUAAGAUCCACAAUAUGUGCACACAAAUACAUUCACAUAGUUCUAAAACACAAUUUUGGAGGGGUAUCAAUUUUCUUCAAAAAUCAAUCAAAACAUGAGUACUAUCCUAAAUACUUAAAAAUCUCCUAAUUACACAAAAAAUAUAACACAAUACGAAACAAAACACAAUAUGACAAAAUUAAACUAGAAAUGUUGGUUCUACAACCAUACCAAGAUCGACAAAAAAAGAAGCACAAUAACAAUAACCUACGACGGCUAUGGUAUACCUCACCCCCAACUAAAAAGUAUGCAUUGUCCCCAAUGUACUAAAAAAAUAUAAAACAAAGUGAUGUGGACAUACUUUAGACACAAUAAGCGUUUGUGUCAUGAACAUUCCUAGAUGGGGGCAUAUUAACUGGCGAAGGCAGGGUGGCAGUGGUGCACUACCAAAAGAUAUACCCGUUAUUAUCCUUGCACGCCUGUAAUGACCCUUCAAGUCAUUUUCUAUAAUUAUGCUUAUCAUCACCGUUUGAGCUUAUCCAUAGUUUUCCCAAGUUAUUUAUCACUUUCUAGGACUAGAGGUUCGGUUACCGAGCAGUUCGUUUGUUUUUUAAAGCCAAUUCCCUAUUUAAAAGUCUUCACUGGUUCCAAAUGACCAUUGGGUGAAGACUUUAAGGAAAUGAUCGCAGAUGCAAAUUUUGAUUGCUCCAAUAGAUAUGGAAUAUCGAUUUUACUCUAGGUAUACCUUUGAUUUGGGUCCCAAUGUACCCGAGCUUUUUUUCAUUUAUUGGUUGAAAAGUUAAAAAUUGGAAAGAAUGGGUGUGGUACCCACAUUGGGUCGAAACAAUCUUGGAUUGAAAAUAUGACUUAUCCAUCAUGUCUAGAUUAUCAAUUUUAGUCUAGGGAGACCCUUAGUUCAGGUCCCAAGACUCCCGAACUUAUUUUGGGCUAUUGAGCGAAAUUUAUAAAAAAUGAUGAAAGUUUAGGUGUGGGCCCCUCUUUUUGCUUAAAUGAUCUCCUAUGAAAGUGUUGAUGCUUCCAAUGGAUUUGAAAUGUGGUUUACACUCGAAAUUCACUAUUGUAUCACGUUAUUUGGAUUCCGUAUGAGUUCUGAGGGUUAAAAACUCAUUUUUCAAUUUGCUGUCAUCUGGUGCAACCGCGACCGUAGCCAAAAGUGUGCGAUCGUGGGAGUGUGAUCGCUGCUUGUAUAAUCAUGAUUGCGGUACCUGAGAACCUGUAGGGGGUAUAUAAAGGUUCCAAGACAUGUUUGGACUAUUUCCUCUUCACUAUUUAGACCUAGGAACCCCAAAAUAAAUAUUAUAAUCAAAAUUGGUCGGGGGAGGGGGUUACUUGGGAGCCUAAUUAUCAUCUUGUAUCAUGAUUAUAUUCAAGAUUAAGGUAAGAAUUACUUGAAUUCAUGCUUUAAUUUUAUAGUUUAGACCCAAAUCUCCAAUUUAGCUUCGGGCUUGAUUUUAGCCCGAUGUAUGCUUAGUUUACACCCAUUAUUUGAGGGUUAUGAUUCCUUGUUCAUGUGUUAACAUUGGGUUGGUCUCAGAAACUCAUUUUUUGUAAGUGGGACCCACUUGGGGUUUUGGUGUCAUUUUUGAACCCAAAGCACAAUAGUGCAAUAUGGGUGUCAUUAGACUCGUACUAAUGAGUAGAUUAUAAUUUUAAAAGUGUGAUGGAAUUUUGAGGAUUGUAAAGUGAAGACGAGCAUGUUGUGCAUGAAGUAAAGUUUUUUGGUUUGUCCUUGAGGUAGGCUUCUGUCUACUUUUCUUCAUAGAUGAUGUGUGAUGUUUGUUGCGUGUGAAUAUGGAUUUUAGGUUUGAUUAUGCAUAGGAUGAAUUGACCUUGAUUGUUUAUGUUUGGGGAUUGGAUGAGGGUUUUGGACCCAUAAAUGGCAUGUUUAUAACCUUUUGUAUCCUGUUGCCUUUCCUCUUUAGUUUAGAUUAUUUAUAACAUAGAUAUGAUAUAAUACAAUGUUUGGAAUGUGGUUUUAGCAUUUGAAGCAUGAUUUGUAUACUAAGCCCUAUUUUGAAACCGUAAGUUGGGUAGAGUUGACUUGUGUACCCUUAUUUCUAGUCAAAGUUGCUAUCUUAGGCUUGAAUAUGGCUUACUUGACAUAUAAAAGUUGAACUAGAUACCUUACCCUAGUUUGGGGGCAUAGUGUGCCUAAUUAUGGAAAUUGUGGAUUAGAAGUGGGAUUGUUCUUCCCACUUAGGCCUAAGCUUGUGUUAAGUUUUGUGGACUUAGUUGUAGAUGUUAGACAUAGAUGAGGCUAGUAAACCAUAGAAUAAGGUUACUUUGUAACUUUGUAACUUGUAUUGACGUUCUCAGAUUGUGGUUUUUGAGUUAUGAUUAUGAUACUCCUUGUGGAAGUGAUAUUCGGCAUUUAGAGAUGAUAUUUCUUCUAGAUACGUGAUAUGGCCUAUAGAGAUGGUAUUUUCUCUUAGACUUGAUAACUGACUUGUAUAUUUGAUAUUUUCUUUAGUAAUGAUUGUUGGACCUAUAUAGACGUUAUUUUCUAUUACAUAUGUAAAUUGGCCCAGAGAAGUGAUAUGGAAAGCAGGGGAGAAGAAUUGCUCUCUAUUACUGUGAUCGCGGUCCCUAAGCACGAUCGCGGCCGCUCGUAUGUCUGCAAUUGCGGUCACUUGACUGUGGUUUCGGUCACUUCAGCCACUUAAUCCCUUGUUGUCUUGACGUAUGACCUAUUGACGUAUGAUAUCCUAUAGACAAUUACUUAUUUGUCUAUAUUAUCCCUCCUAGAUGUGAGAUUCCUCUUAUGUAAGAGCAUAUAACAUAUUUAUUGAUAUUAUGCUUCCUAUAUGUGAGAUACCCCCUAUAUGUGAGAUGAUUAGAGGUAUGGUAUGACUUAUAAAUAUGAUUAAUGAUAUGAGUCCUGGAUAUGUGCAUGGGCCUAAGGCCAUGAUUAUGAUGUUGUGAUUAUUCGAGAUAAAUUAAUGGGCUAAGGGUUGUGUUACGACAUUGAUUGAAUAUUCAAGAAGUGUUUGUUAUCAUAAGUGAUGUAAUUAUAGUUUAUAAAUAUGAAUAUAUAUAUGUUUUUAUAUGCAUCUCUCUGGUAUGGGAUGAAAGAAGAUGCAGUAUGAUGUUUAUUAUUCCACUGAUUGAAUACUGGUGAUGGCAUGCAUAGAUUUGGUACAUUCAUGAUUAUUAUAUCGAUAAUUGAUGUGAUUCUAGUUUAAAUAUGAUCUUAUGACUGUUCUUCCUAAUUGAGGGUUAAGCUAAGUAUCAGUUUGGAUGAUGGUUUCUCAUGGAAUGGUAUGGUAUGGUAUGGUUAGUAAUAGUACUAUGUUUGUUUUGAUUGUUUCUCAAAAUAUAUAGUAUGGUAUGGUUUAAUGCCAUGGUUAGGAUACCAUGAAAACCCUCACUUUUUUGAAUAUGAUCUUAUGACUAUUCUUCCUAAUUGAGGGUUAAGCUAAGUGUCUUUUUGGAUGGUGGUUUCUCAUGGUAUGGUAUGGUAUGGUUAGUAAUAAUACCAUGUUUGUUUUGAUUGUUUCUCAAAAUAUAUAGUAUGGUAUGGUUUAAUGCCAUGGUUAGGAUACCAUGAAAACCCUCACUUUUUUGAACCACCGAUUUGGUGGUAUCCCAUGGUUUAGUUAAUUUUUUCAGUUAUACCCUUAUAUAAUAUUAUCUAAUCCUAUUUUAUCCUUUUACAUAUUGAACUCUAGCCUUGCCUAUACUGUAUCCCAAAAAAUAAAAUGAGAAUCCAGUACCGUUUAUCCCUUAAAGAAUGAAUAUUAGUUUUCCUUACCAUAGAAAUUGAGGUCACUAGCAAAGAAAGCCUUGGAUCCAGUAAAGGAGAAGAAUGGCAACGGAACUGGAAUAGGAACAUUGAUGCCAAUAACCUCUUUUGGUAGACCUUCUUUGAAAGAUUUUUCAUGUAUUGCUUUAGUUUAUUAAUAGGAACAUCAAUAUCCAAAUUUGAUGCAUAAUUGUGCUUAUUAUGAUGCAUAGUUAAUUCAAACAUCAAUAUCAAAAUCCUGCUCAUAGUUAAUAAGAAAAUACCCCUAAUUAUUAUAAAUUUAAAUUUAUAAUAAUUAGGGGUAUUUUAGUAAACUUACUCAUUACGAUACAAUACCAUCCAUCAAACCAAACAAAAAAACUGUUAUUAGACAGCAGUGAAUGAUACUAUCUAUCCAAACAUUGUAUUUUACUAUACUUACAGUACUAUACCAUACCAUACUAUACUGUACCGUGUAUUAUGAAACCAUCGAAAAACACCAUCCAAACAUAGUGUAAGUGGUAGCUAGAUUUCUUUUAGGUGGCUAUAGUACUUGAUGGAUAGAAAUCUAAUGUACUAGUUAAUGAACCUUGCUUAGUUGAAGUAUGGUAGCUAACGAUUAAAGUCGAUACGUGGCAAUGAAAAUGGGUUUAUCUAUGAUAAUGAUUAGUUGCUAUCGAUAACAAAGUUGUGAUGCCGAUUAGUUGUUAAGUAAGGAUAAUGUGGCUUAAUAUUGCCAGAUGAUAAAGGAAGUUAGUGAUAAUGACUCCUAGUUAAUAACGAUGCCUAAAUGAAGAUAAUACCAAGUCAAUAAUGUUGACUAGAUAAUAAUGAUGAUUAGUUGAAUAAUGAGGAUUAGAUGGUAAACGAUAGUUAGUUAAUGAUUGAUCUUAGUUAAUAAAAGAUGGUUAGAUGGUAAUUGGUAAUUUGUUGGCUAAUGAUGAUUAUCUGAUAUAUAAUAAUUAGUUGAUAAUAAUGAAUAGUAGAUAAAUGGUGAUUAUUUUCCUAUGAUGAAUAGAAAAUUAGUUGUUUAAUAAUAAUAUGCGUUGGUUGGCUAAUAACGAGUAGUUGGGAUGUAUUGACAAGACUGAUAUCUUUAUAGUUUGAGUAUAUUGGCUUGCGUCUGUGCACCUAUUAUAUGCCUAUAUUUAUGUGUUAAUAGUUACGAUGGCAUAUUGAUACCCGGCAAGGCCAGAGGAUAUUAUGAUGAUAUUGAUACCCAAUUCAUGUUCGGAGAAUACUAUUGAGAUGAUAUUGAUACCCGGUAAGGCCAGAGGAUAUUAUGAUAAUAUGGAUACCCAGUUCAAGUUUGGAGGAUACUAUUGAGAUGAUAUUAAUUUCCAGCAAGGCUGGAGGUUGAUUACGAUGAUGAUGGUCCUGAUGAGGAUAAUUAUUAUGAGUUGUGAUAUUAAUGGCAUACUUUGCAGUCAUUCCUGCAUGAUCAUCGCCUAUCACCAGUAUACACCUAUAUUUAUCAGCCGGUAAGGAUAGUUGCAUAGAUAUGGGUAAAGGAUAUGUCUUGUAUUAUUGUAUGUUAUUAAACCUUAUAAGCCUGGGGAGGUGGGGGUACGCAUAGGCUCGUAUAAGUAUUUGGUUGUCCGGAGUAGCUGGUCAUUAACACUGUUAUUGAUAUUAUUAUUAUCAUUGUUAUGAUCAUUACUAUGGCUAGCUAUGACAGAUUGGCCAUUGAUCCGGUAUCGAGAUUUUAGGUAUGUCUUUGGUCUCUUCUGUCUUAUGAUUGCAUUAUUAUGCAUGAGUAUUUCAUGUCUAGCCAUAUGGAUUAGAAUCCCAGAGUAUGAUAGUAUUUAAAUCAUGAUAGUAUUAUAAUGAGGUCUCAAAAUAAGAAUAUGAUGAUAUAGGUUAUACGUUGAGAUGACCUCGUAUUUAUAUGUACUUAUACCUAUAUAUAUCUAGCUAUAUGAAGCUAUGGUACUGCCGUAUAUCCCUUCCUUUCUUGUUCAUUUUAUAUAGUCAUUACUUCGCCUUGUAUAUUACUAUAUAACUUUCUUUUUCUCUUUAUUGGUAUAUUAACGUAGGAUAUAUGGUAUAGCAUUGACGUAUGUUGAAUUUAGAUGGAAUAAGAUGGUUCACCCUAAUACUUCCUUAGUCUUAUUUUGUUAGAUGCUUGGAUAUAAAUAUGAUAGUUUUCCCGUAUUACUCUUAUUGACUUAUUAUAUGAAUUAUGGACUUUUGAGUGUAGUUUCCAUUUUGUUUAUAUACUGUGCAUAUCUGCUUUAUCUUUGGAGCUCAGUUGGCAGUUGUCUACUGAGUACCAUUCAUUUUGUACUCAAACUAUACUUCUGCAUCCUGCAUAUCAUAGUACGGGUUAUCGCCGUUGAUAUGUGUAUCGUGCGAAGCAGCCCUAGUUUGGAGACUUAGAGUGAGCUCCUGAUGUUUGGAGUAUUACUUAUCUCUCUAUUACGUAUUAGACUAGUCUCUAAGUUGUAUUAGGAGACAAGUUGUACCAUUGUAUAAUUGUUGAUAUAUCUUAGUUGUACUUUUAUAAUAUUAGAAACACUUGCACUAAUACCACCAGGCUUUGGGAUUCUUCUAUCUAUUGAUCUUUAAUCCAUAUAUUCCGUAUUAUUUUCCUUAUAUUAUUGAGUAGUUCAUUACCAGCCAUUCCGGACUAUGGGUUGGCUUUCCUAUGGUGGGUUAUGGUAAGUGCCAUCAUGACCUGAAGAAUUGGGUUAUGACAACGCCUCUUCUUCUCAACCACUACAGUAUCCAUUGAAUCAUGUUUUAACUGCCUGGUCAUAUAGCUUAUUAGGAUCCUGCAAGUCUCCUAUGUGACCUCUCUUCGCCCCAACUCUCGAGAACUUCUCCUUAUCCUCCAUAAAGAAAUCAAAAUAUCUGCAUGCGUGUGAAGGUAAAUUUAGGACACUGGGGGUAUGACUGAAAAUCAUGGCUACUACAUGGCUCUCUAUGAGAGAGAAUACCUCUUCUCGUAAUAUGUCCAACUCCUCCCUCAUUAGGGCUAGAUCUGACACCUCUAUCUCUGUAAAUCGAGCUAUAACCCAUCUUUCAAACUCAUCAAGACGUUCCUGUAAGUCAGCAUGUUUCUCAGACAGGGAAACUCUCUGUGUGGCCUCCCAUCUAUCCUCUGCCAUCUUAAAUCUAGUUCAAACCCUUAAACGUAUCUGCUCCUAUAGAGUAGUUAUCUCGGUAUCAAUAACCCACAAUCGAGAAUCAGUGGCCAUCUGGCUAUCCACUAACCUUAGCGAGAACUCUCGAGAUAUAAUAAUUAUACCUAUAGCAGGGGUUGUAGUAGAUGCGCGAGUGGCUCUAAAGGUAUGCCAAUCGACUCUGAGGUCAAAGCCGGGGCUGAAGAAGAAGUGGCUAGUGUACCCUUGCCCUAAGUACAAAAACCUAGGGCCUUUCUUUACUUCCCUAUCUCAAGAUCAACACUAAAUCCUACAUCACCUCUAUGUACAUCACCAGGCUCUGUAGAAAUUGAUGGACCCUCAGUCUAGGCCCGAGGUACUGUGACAUGCUCACUAGAUUUCGUAGGAAGGAUCGGACAUACUAGAUCCUUCGUACUCUUUAUCUAUGCAAUAGAUUUCAAACAUAUUCUCUCAUCUAUUCUUAAUAUCUCUGGUACACUAGCCUCGUCACAUAAACUUUGACUCAGGCAGGGUAAUAGUGAAAUUCAUCAUCUCUCCAAAUUAUCUAUCAUAGAUCUCAUGCCGGAGAAUGGCUUAAAAGUCAAUAGCAUACCCAACCAUCCUAAUAGCAACCAGGGCUACACCCUCCCAAGUCAACACAUUAUCUAAAGUAGUAGGGACUAUCGAUAUCAGAUGAAAAACCACCAAAUCUUAGCAUCAAAGGUCAACAAGCCCUUCUUUAUGACACCAUGACCCUCAAUCCAUAGGGUCUCAUCACGCAAAGGUAAAAUAUAGCUAGCUAUCCACCUAGCCAUCUUAACUCCCUCUCACUUAUGCUCUGCCUCCCACAUAAUAUGUCUAUCUCAUGCGACUCUCAGUCUAUAGUCGUACUCAGUUGUGGAUGAGGGAGUGAUAUAAUCUGGACCAAAAAUGACUAAACAAAUAGUCUCUGCUGAAAGAUCAACCUUCACCCCUGUCACAUGGGUCUGAUCAAGCUAUGACUACCCCAUACGUCUCCUAAGACCUGGAGAUCUAUGUAUCGAGAACUAUUAUUGCAUGCUAUGAUACAUAAAACCCAUGUACCAUAGUCGAGCUAUAAGAAUUGAGUGGUCUAGUUAUCCACUCUAAUUGAUAAUGAAUAAAGGAAAUGCACAACUGUGGUACUCGACUCAGCCCAAAUAGAUCAAUCUUGUGCUCUGUAUAAAUAAGCCUCUUAGGCCUUCCUACCUCUAAAAUGCAACUAUCUAUAUUAAAUAUCUCCCGUACCGCCUCCAGGCACCACCUCGGAUUUUCCUCCUUAAAAGGUGCCUCUAAGUUAUGUGUGGGUACAAGACUCUGCCCUUAUUAUACUGGUGCCUCAUGGGAAUCCUGCUCUGUACCUGUAAUACCCCAUAUGUUUCUAAGCUAGGAAGUGAAUAAGUAUUCCUAUGUAUGAAAUCUCCUAUCAUGUGAUUCAUACUUGAUUACAUGACUUACAAUGAAUAUCCUAGUGAUAGGAUAGCUUAUGAUACAUUAAGCAUGUUCAUAUAAGUCACUUAAGGUAAUACAAGCUAAGAGUUUUUGAAUCCAUCAAGUUUUAGUGUUUGAUUUUGCAAGGGUCAUCUUUGAAUGAGUAUAACUCGAUGUUAAUGUGGUAUUUUGGCUGAUUUAGACCCACCAAAUUGUAUAGAAUCGAAUUAGCUUUCCAACGAUACCAAAUUUGCCUUAAUCCAAUACCCGAGCGAAAAGUUAUGCCCAUUUUCGUGAGAGACAGUAAGCAUAGGCGAUUGGUUAGGCGCUGCCCAACCCAAGCAUAGGCGAUUGGUUAGGCGCCGCCCAACCCAAGCAUAGGCGAUCACUUAGGCGCCGCCUAAGUAAUUUCCAGGUGUCAAAAACACUUCAUCUUGAGUUAUUUUAAAGGUAAUUAAGUCUUUAAAUACUCCUUACACGUCCCUAAACUUAACCCUACGAAAUAUAUAUCUUCUAAACAUACUGCAACCCUAUUUUCAUCUCAAAGCUCAUCAUCCAAGAGCACUAAAGGAGAAAAACAACUAGAGUUGCAUAAUUUAGCUUAAAGAUCCGAUUUCAAGGAAAUUCCUCCGUCAAUCAUCAAGAAUNNNNNNNNNNNNNNNNNNNNNNNNNNNNNNNNNNNNNNNNNNNNNNNNNNNNNNNNNNNNNNNNNNNNNNNNNNNNNNNNNNNNNNNNNNNNNNNNNNNNNNNNNNNNNNNNNNNNNNNNNNNNNNNNNNNNNNNNNNNNNNNNNNNNNNNNNNNNNNNNNNNNNNNNNNNNNNNNNNNNNNNNNNNNNNNNNNNNNNNNNNNNNNNNNNNNNNNNNNNNNNNNNNNNNNNNNNNNNNNNNNNNNNNNNNNNNNNNNNNNNNNNNNNNNNNNNNNNNNNNNNNNNNNNNNNNNNNNNNNNNNNNNNNNNNNNNNNNNNNNUAUGUUUUUGUGAAUUCAUGAUAUCAUAUGAGUUGGAAACAUGUAAAUUUGGGUGUUCAUGAUGUUUCACCUAUGCUUAAGAUGUGCAUGUAAGGUGUUUGAUAAAAUGCCUAAGGAACUAGAAACCAUGCAAUAUAGCUAAAUUAUGACUAAAUGAAGAAAUCAUGAUAUACCCUUACGUUCCAAUGACUUCUAUGUUGUUAAUGUCCCUUGUAAAUGUUGUUGGAAUACCCAUGAACUAUUCUUAUGAGAUUAUGCUAUGUUUACUUGCAAAUCCUACUUAUGAACAAGAUGUAUGAUAACCAUGCUAUUAGUAUGUGUUGCCAAUAUGAUUAUGCAACGAACAUAAUAUUAAGAAUGUGCAAGUACUUCCAUGUGAUAUGAAAUUCUUUCCAUGCAAUACAUUGUUGAUAACCAUGCAUAGUAUGAAAUCCCUACUUAUUAUAUUAUAUAUUAUGGACUCUACUCUUAUGAUCAAGGUAGUCAUGUGUGUCAGUUUCCUUCCAUCGAGUCCUGGGGNNNNNNNNNNNNNNNNNNNNNNNNNNNNNNNNNNNNNNNNNNNNNNNNNNNNNNNNNNNNNNNNNNNNNNNNNNNNNNNNNNNNNNNNNNNNNNNNNNNNNNNNNNNNNNNNNNNNNNNNNNNNNNNNNNNNNNNNNNNNNNNNNNNNNNNNNNNNNNNNNNNNNNNNNNNNGAUAUCCGAACUCAAGCUAUGAUUCCAUAGACUUCAGUCAGUCAUGUGACUCAGGAAAACCUCAUGAUCUUAGUCAGUUGUCAGAUAUCAGUAACAUUCCGCCAGUCAAUGGAAUUCAGUAAGAUUAAGUCAUGCACAGUCAGUUAUUCAUGUCCAGUCCCUCCAGAUGGGAGCAGAGGUUAGCACUGAGUGAACCCAAGGAUGGGAGCUCACCCACCAAUUCAGGGUACGAUUCUUAGUAGCAAUCCUUGUGUUCCAGAACUACGUAGCCAGCGUAGGUUGAGAUAUCUUAACCCGUCAUCUUAGGGUUGAUGAGGUGGCUUAACCCAUCAGUUUAGGGUUUCCACCAUUCUUAUUUGAGUACCUGCCAGUAUAGGGUCUCACAGCUGUCCUUACCAGUGGCACGGUAUUGAUACCCCUCCAGUCGGGGCAGAGAUUGGACCCUAGCUUAGCCAUAAUGGCAUACAUGGGGUAUGUCAGUUAAACACUACUUCCCACAGUUUUAGUAUCAGUCUCAGUAAAAGAACUCAGGGCGUUCUUCAGAUUUCAGUAUAUACAGGACUGCCAGAUACAGUCAUCUAUGUUAUCAGUUUUAGUAACAGUCUCUGUAAAAGAACUCAGGGUUUUCUUUAGAUUUCAGUAUAUACAGGACUGUUAGAUAUAGUCAUCCAUGUUAUCAGUUUUAGUAUCAGUCAGGACAGUUAUCAGUAAACCAUGUAUUAGCUUACAAGUCAUGUUAUCAUGUAUUCACGGUCCCAGUUUCUAUAUAUGUGUGUUUACACUUCCACGUUCAUAUUAGUCAGUCAGUGUUGUUCAUGCAUGAAACCCUUUAUAUUUAGCCUACCUUCCUCGUAUACUCAGUACUCCAGUUGUACUAACGCAUUUGCACUAUGGUGCUUUCUUUUAUGUUACAUCAUAGGUUCCGAGACAGGAGCUCCAGCCCAGCAGUAGCGGUAGCAUUCCAGUCACAGAGACACAGUGA
This 44423-nucleotide long non-coding RNA is filed under the name Capsicum annuum. RNAcentral describes it as "long non-coding RNA (CANN_LNC002500)". Lineage: Eukaryota; Viridiplantae; Streptophyta; Magnoliopsida; Solanales; Solanaceae. The record is from RNAcentral.